RNAcentral lists this long non-coding RNA (52381 nucleotides) under Medicago truncatula (barrel medic). RNAcentral's name for it is "long non-coding RNA (MTRU_LNC006688)". Lineage: Eukaryota; Viridiplantae; Streptophyta; Magnoliopsida; Fabales; Fabaceae. The record is from RNAcentral.
UCCUUCUCUUGGAUGUCGCACCUCUUACCCUUGGAAUUGAAACUGUUGGAGGAGUGAUGACAAAGUUGAUUCCUAGAAACACUGUUAUCCCCACCAAAAAAUCCCAGGUGUUUACCACCUACCAGGAUCAGCAGACAACCGUCUCCAUUCAGGUACUGUACCAUUUUUCCACUGCAUGUUUUCCAUAUAAAUACAAGUUGCUUGACUGCAUGAACUUGAACUCAACUGGGGUGCUGUUUGUUUUUAAUAUGUAUAGGUGUUUGAAGGUGAGAGGAGUCUCACAAAGGAUUGUCGCCUCCUUGGCAAAUUUGAUCUGUCUGGAAUUCCACCAGCUCCAAGGUUUGUUUCCUACUUCCAUUAUGUCUUGAAUUUUUCUCUAUUGACGUUUUGUUUUGUAAUUAAUUGGUUUUUCUUGUGGCAAUUGAACAGAGGCACCCCUCAAAUUGAAGUCACCUUUGAAGUUGAUGCAAAUGGUAUCUUAAAUGUAAAGGCAGAAGACAAGGGCACCGGUAAAUCAGAAAAGAUCACCAUUACAAAUGAAAAGGGACGUCUAAGCCAGGAGGAAAUCGAACGGAUGGUUCGUGAAGCAGAGGAGUUUGCCGAGGAGGAUAAAAAGGUCAAGGAAAGAAUUGACGCUCGGAAUGCUCUGGAAACCUAUGUCUACAACAUGAAAAACCAAGUCAGUGACAAAGACAAGCUGGCUGACAAGUUGGAGUCAGAUGAAAAGGAGAAAAUCGAGACCGCUGUUAAGGAAGCAUUGGAAUGGUUGGAUGACAACCAGAGCGUAGAGAAAGAAGAAUAUGAAGAGAAGCUCAAAGAAGUGGAAGCUGUUUGUAAUCCAAUCAUCACCGCAGUCUAUCAGAGAUCUGGUGGUGCCCCAGGUGGUGGUGCAUCAGGGGAAGACGAGGAGGACGAGUCUCAUGAUGAACUCUAGACUAGAUAAUAAUGAGAAGUAAUAGGAUAGGCAGAGUCUGUUAAUUUUUCUGAUAGGUGGGAAUUAAAAAUUUCCCCUGCGCUUACUUUUUUGUUGGCAAAUAUACCUGCAAAAUUAUUUGUACUUUACUUUUGCUAGAUUUAUGAGAGAACUUAUUCUGCUAUAUCACCCUGAGUUUUUGUUUUUACUAUUAUUCUCUUUUUAUCAUGCUUGUGUUCAUGCGUACUCCGUUCUUGUAUGCGCUGUCUUUCCAUCCUAGACUGGUUUGGACUUGCAUAUGUUGGUUAUCCUUUUCGAAGUACCAGAGAUCUCGGCGCUCUCCAUUAGCAAAUUUAUAGAAAUAGACCCUCUCCUUUUUCUAUCCUCUUCCUCUAUACCCUGAAAGAUCUGACAACACAAAUAACAAAGCCAAGUAGAGCCCCUUACAUUGAAUAAAUGACACCAUUAUAUGCUAUUAUCAAAUAGGAGUAUUACAUUCUUAUCCAUUUGUUUAGUUUUUUCUCGGAAAUUUUCUUUUAUAAUUCUUUAUGUCUUCUGCUAGUGAUUUACUUUCCUCAGAUUCAUCAAGUCCAAGUUUAGUUUCAAUUGGAGCUUCAGCCAGCCAAAGCUCAUUGAAUUAUCCAUUAUUUAGCUGAAUACACUCUUCAUAAUCCAAAUUGCAUAUUGAUUGAAGAGACUUCAUAGGGGGUGUAUUGGAUUGAGAUUUCAAAGGAUUUUAAAAGAUUUUUUUGUUUUAUAAAAGUCUUGUGGUAUUCAAUCAAGAUUUUUAAGGAAUGUAAAACAUUCUUGUGGUAUUCAAUUAGGAUUUUCAAGAUUUUUUAAUGAGUCAAAUGAAAUCCAGCGGUAUUCAAUUGAGAUUUUGCAUAACUUAAAAAUUGUCUACUAGUAUUCAAAACUCUACGGAUUUUUAUGGAUUGUUGUGAGUAAUGGAUUUUGUGAGAUUGUUUAGUGUAAAAUGUACCUACUAACCAAUCUCACACCUAGCCUUGAGACUUUUCUGUCUCCCACACAUAACCUUGAGAUUUUGUAAUACUCUUCCAAAUUUAUUUUUUAUUUUAUUUUAUGUUUCUUCCAAAUUCUUUUUUGUUCUACUGUAACAAUGGUAGGUUAUAUAUUAUUGUCGAAAUCAUCAUGCCUCUAACUUGCACUUUUCUUAACAUAACUUUUACGUUAUUAAAAAAAAAAUAACGUACUGUAUAAUCUUGUGGUUAAUUUACCAUCUACCUAUAUAUCAAAUUAUAUAAAAAUCACAACUUUACGUUCAUUGAUAUUAUAAUAAUUUUUCUACUUGCAUUUUUCUACCUUUAACAUGCAUUUUUCAAUCAAAUUAUUAUAAUCAAUAAACUAACAUAACUUAUUUUUAGGUCUAUUUAUUUUGAUAUUAUAUGUCCAGAAAUAGUAGUAUAUUAUCUAAUAGUUUUUUUUUGAAGAAAUAUUACACUCAUUGAUUCAAUAUUUUUUUUUCGGUUGAUUUAUAACUCUGUAUUUUUGUUUUUGAGAUUUUUUUGUCUGUACUGUAUCUUUAAAUUUAUUGACCCUUUUAAAAUCUUAAAAAUCAAUAAAAUCCUUUAAAAUCUAUAUCAUGAAUCCAUUAAAAUCUUGCAAAGAAUCUUGAUUGUAAAAAGUCUUUCAAAAAAAGUCUUUUAAAAUUCCACAAAAUCAAUACAAUCCAACAAAGUCUUUUAAAAUCUUCAAGAUUUUUUCUAUCAAAACAGUCUUUUAAAAUCUCAAUCUAAUAGUAUUCAUGUAGUCUUCAUAUUUGAUUUUUUUUUUUGUUGUAACUUUCACAUAUUGAGCAAUACCCUACCAAACUUUGGCAAAGUGGUUCCAUUCCCAUCUCUAAAGAAAUAGCUAGAUAAUUUAAUUUAGGGAGAUGAUAAGUCAAUAAAAAUGGACAGUAGUCUAUCUGGUCCGAGGAAUUGCAAUUUUUUUUCCGAGUUUCUUAGGGAAAUGUUUCUCCCUAUAGCCGUUCCGAAAUUGUGCUACUCGUAGCUGGAAGUUAUAUUAUGGAUUCUAACUUAGAUGAUUUGGCCUGCCUUAAUCAUUUACUUGAUUCUUUACUAGCUUUCUAGUUCGGAAAUUAUAGUUGUCGAGAGGUAAUGGAAGAGUUGUUAUUUCUUCAUGAUAAGGUACUUGUGUGGGUUUCUUUUGCAGUGGGUUUUGAUAGAAGUUUCAUUGCCAAUCUCAACUCAUACAGAUAAACCAAAGAGUAUUACUUUUCUUACCCUAUGACUUUCUCGCGCGUCCUAUGCAAAUUACCAACAUGCCCUUCGAAUUAUAUAAUCCGGGACAUCUAUACGUAUUUCGGAAUAUAGAAUCCGGACAAUUGCGAAGUAUAAAAGGAACUUCACCCCCCAUUUUUACAGUUUCACUUUCAACAUUCUCUCUCUCUCUCUCUCUCUCUCUCUCUCUACAUUAUCCCAAGUUACGAACACCACAAAUCUUGUCCAAAUUUGGAGUUUUGCUGAUCAAAGCACUGCAUUUCAACCCAUUUCAAACAUCAUGGAAGAUAAGUUCGAUUUCUGUACAUAUGCAUGGUUAAUUUCGUCGAUUUUUUUUUGGAUUUCUGGUCGGAUGUAAUCCGGAUUUUGUUUUCCGGACUCGAUCGUUGUUGUCCGGAAGUUGAAAUCCGAAAAAACCCAGAAUGUUUUUUUGCUUCUGUUUUGUGCUGUUUGAUUGUGAUGUUUGAUUACCCUAAUUUGAAUGUUGCAGAAGGUUCAACAUCUAAUACUCGGCGCAUAAGGGAGGCAGGGCAUGCUUCCCAUAGGAGAGAGCGUCUCCGACGGCUGCAGGAGGAAGGUGGUGUUCCUCCGAGGUGUCGGGGUGGUAGAGAACGUUGUGCUGAUGUCGAGCAUCAGCCAGAGCAGCAAGAGAAUAUGGACAUGGAGCAGGAGCAGCCUGAUGUGGAAUUGCAGCAUAUGGAGGAGCAGGAGCUUGAGGAGGAGCUGCAGGGUAUGGACGAGGAAAUGGAAGUUGCCGAGCCACGGCGAAGGCGAAAGAAGAAGGUGGUGGACCCUGAGCCAUUAGAUGACUACCCCGGUGGCCCACACGAGACUGACCUGCUGUGGAGGUACCAUGUGCACGUGGCCAGGAAGGCGGCUGAUGGCGUGAUAUUUAUUAAUGUUAAAUUCACUUUAUAUCUGAAACUGCUUGUUUUGUACUGUUAAAUCUGCCUGUUUAUUUAUUGUUAAAUAUGUUUGUGAAGUCAUGAGUUUAAACUCACUUUAUUAAUUUUAAUUAUUUGCAGUGGCGUGGAAAAUUAAAAUGCAUCAACAACGGAAAGAAAAUAGAAGCGAUGCAUGAUGAAGAAAACAAAUUUAUCAUGGCUGGACGGUGGUGGGAGAACAAAUUGCAUGACACCGGCCUUGGUUGGCUCCAGGAUACCAACUACAGCAUGAUUGACCAUGGUCUAAUUUGUGCCUUCGUUGAGAGGUGGCACGAGGAGACUUCCAACUUCCACCUUCCGUUUGGGGAGAUGACAGUCACACUUGAUGAUGUGACCUCUUUGAUGCAUAUCCGCAUUGAUGGCAUGCUCCUGUCCCACGGGUCCAUAUCACGGGACGAGGCGGUGGAAUGGAUGGAGGAGUACUUGGGGUCUAGUACGAGUGAUAUUCUUAAAGAGGUCGACAAGACCAAAGGUGCACAUUGCAGAUUUACCUACUUGGAGAGGAUAUUCAAGGAGUGUUUGAAGGAGCGGAGGGAUUUGGCGGCCGAGUAUGGUGUGACUGAGGAGGUACAGAGGUUGCGGGACCAGAUUGUCCGCAUAUAUUUGCUAUACUUGGUGGGGAUCACGAUCUUCGGUGACAAAAGCUAGUGGGCUGUGGAUGUUGUCUACCUGAAGUACUUCAGAGACCUUGAUCUUGUUGCUGAUUAUUCAUGGGGAGCUGUGGCACUAGCUCACUUGUAUAAGGAGCUCAACAAUGCUGCACGUUGGAACACCAGUCAGGUGGCAGGAUACCUGAGUUUGUUGCAAGUAUAAAUUAAAAACUAUGUUUUAUUUUUUAAAAUGUAAGUGUAUAUGGUUUGUAUAUUUAUAUGUGGUUGUCUUUGGUGCAGGCUUGAGUGUUUCAUCACUUCCCAGGUAUGGGAAGCAAAGAUGCCUGAGAAGGAUAUGUAGAGAAUCAGUAUCCACGCGCGAUGCUUUUUUUACCACUGUCUGAUUUAGGCACAGUGGACAACUACAAAAACUAUCUAGAUGCGCUGGAUUUGACGAGGGUUGUCAUGACCCCAUAUGAAGGGUACCGUCAGGCACGUCAGUUUGAGCGGGUCAACCUUUACACUGGAUGGCUGAGAUGCGGAGAGCACAUGGUGAGAUAUCUGCCGGAGAGGGUGCUUCGUCAGUUUGGGUGGGUUCAGACCAUACCGAGACAUCCUGUUCAGAGCGCACCUGUUGAUGUUAACUUGGCGGCGAUCAAAACCGCUUUCAACGUGCACUUGAUUAUACGCUGACACCUCAGGAGUUGGGAGAGAUUGCAGUUCAUGGUGUGGAGGCAGCAGAAGGAUACAUCGAGUGGUUUUACCAGGCGUCUCAUCCACGCAUGAUUCUUCCAGACAUGCCGGUACCGUUGCCGAGGCCACCAGAGCGUGAGGUCCUUGAUGCGCGAGCUGCUCAAGAUGAUGGAGACCUUGCGUACUUACAGCUUAAUGGAAGGAUGACCCGCAUCAGAGACCACAUAUAUGCUGUGAUAAGAAGUGGUCUGGUGGCGAAAGGGACUGAGGAAUGGCAACAUUUGGAGGAUGCGUUGAGAGAGGUGCAUGAUGGGAAAGUUUACCGUCGUCGGGGAGCUACUGAGGGUGGCAGGGGUGCCAGAGGUGGCAGAGGUGGUGGCAGAGGUGGCGGUGGUACAAGUGUAAUUAUUAGGGGCUGAUAGUAUUGUAUUUUAUGUUUAUGUUUGAACAUUUUGAAUGCUUUUGAAUUAUGUAACACUUGGAUAAUUUUUAAUGUUAUGUAAUCUUGAAUAAUUUUUAAUUAUAUUUGAUUAAUGCUUUGUUCGAAAAUUAUGUUGUGUUGAUGAUUUUAAUGUUUAUAAGUUCGAUUUACUGUUAGAACAUGUCACCGACAUUAUAUGUCUGUUUGGAAGCAAGCAAAAUGCGCCAAAACAGAGGCUCAGCCAAAACAUAUGGCUUCUGCCUCUGCACUGAUGCAGUCCGGAUUAUAUAAUCCGGAUAAGUUUAGCACAUUCCGGAUUAUAUAAUCCGGAAUCAUCGUUCACCCCCCCUGUUGACUUUCAACGGGGUGAUUUACACGUUUCAGAUUAUAUAAUCCGGAAGCUACCUAACUGUUUCAGAUUAUAUAAUCCGGAACAAUAUAUUCAUAACUGGCAUCAUCAUCCAUCAGGGUGGAUGAUGUGCCAAAAUACACUAAUAAAUCCGAAAAUUAAUAUUCCAGAAUGGGUUCAGAUUAUAUAAUAAGGACUAGGGGUAUUAUGGGAAAAAAAUAAGGUGCACGGGGAAAGGCAUAGGGUGGGUAAAGUAAUACUCUAAACCAAAUCACCUCCUCAAUAUACUUAAUCGGAUGCUUGGCGGUUAGGGCUGGGAAUGAGUCGGGCCAGCUGGGCUUUGCUUAAAUAGGCCGAGCCUAGUUGAAAAAACUAAAACUUAAGCCUGGCCUAUUAGCUUGUCAAAGGCUUUUUUUAAAGCCUGACCUGACCUUUUUAAAAACCCGGCUUGACUUAUUAGCCUAUCUAAAAGCCUAAUUUGUACUAAAAAAUUUAAAAAGGCUAAUAAACAUAUAUAUUUUUUAAAAGGCUAAUAUGUCAAUAAAAUUUUGUAAAGUAUGUACAUCUAUUUCCCCCCGCUUUAUUAGCGCAUAUAUAUAUAUAUAUAUAUAUAUAUAUAUAUAUAUAUAUAUAUAUAUAUAUCGUAUAUCCAAUAAAAUUUUGUAGAGCUAACACAUCCAUUUUGUAGAGGUUAAUACGCAUGUAUUAUAAAAUGUAUUUUAUAGAGAUUAAUACGCGUGUAUUAUAUAAUGUAGUAUAUAUAAUUACAUAUAUGGGCCGACCUGAUAGACUUAGUAGGCUAUUCUAUAAGUCUUAGCCUAGCCUAUUUAAAUUAAGACUAUUACUUUUCCCAUCCUAUGGCCUUCUCCCGCGCCCUGUAAAAUUUCCAAAAAUGCCCUUGUGUAUUCCGGAUUUUAAAAUCCGGAUUCUUGUUUACUAUUUUGGAUUUUAUAAUCCGGACAAUUCUUAUGUAUAAUCAGCCAUCAGACUCUCUCACAUUUCAGCAGUUUUGAGUUUUGCUUUUAAAAACAACAAAAAAACUAAGUAAAAAAUGCUAAAAACCUGUCAAAUAAAAUCAUAAAAAUAGCACAAAAAAAUUCUAAAAAUCAAAUAAAACUAAUGCAAUUUUUUUCGGAUUUUUCUGAGAAUAUGAAAUUUUUUAAAAAAUGGGUCUAAACGAUGGAAUUUUGGAUUUUGAGGGGCGGAGUCCUGUAAGAAGUCCCUUCUAGGGGAGUUAUGGUCCUUGAACUUUUUUUGAUUUUCUGGGGAAGUUUCGAAGUAAUCCGAUCAAGUAGUCCAAAAAUCCGAUUUUUGACUAAGAACAGGUAACAAUGACCCAAAACAGAAGGAUGAGAGUUAGGAAGAUUAAUAUUGUCCCUAAAAUGACUAUGCAUGUUACAAACAUGUUUAAAAUUUGUGCUGAUACAGUUCAGAUUAUAUAAUCCGAACUGUUUUACCUUGAAAAAGGGUGUUUAGGGGGUUUCCGGAUUAUGUAAUCUGGAAACAUCAUGAUGUAACGCGCUCUAUUUUUUGAAGUUUUCGGAUUACGAAAUCCGGAAAAAUCCGUUACUCAUUUUUUCACCCUUUAACAAAAAAAAACAUCAUUCCGGAUUAUAUAAUUCGGAAUGUUCCAAGGGUAAUUUUGGAAAAAAAUAGGGCGCGCGAGGAAAGACAUAUGGUGGAAAAAGUAAUGCUCUUAAAUUAAUGAACUUUUUAAAAAGCUUGAGUCUUACCUAUUUAACAAAUGAGUUAAGCCGAGCCGGACUUUAAGUAGGUCAGGUCAUAGGCCCCUGACGAGCGGCCUGGUCUAUUCUCACCCCUAUUGGCGGUUUUCAUGGCUUAUCAGACUGUACACAAAUCUUUGCUAAUUUUAAACAUCUUGCUAUACUUUUGAGUAAUUUCAUAACAUAACAUGUUUGUUUUUGGGUCAAGUAGCCUAAUUGCUAAAAAUUCACCCCUUAAGGUGAAUAAGUGAAAACAUCCCUAUCAACUGAGUUAUAUUAUUAAUGUUUUUUUUUUUUUAUUCAGUUUAUAAUUAUGUUAUUAUGUUGAAAUCACUAAAUCGUUUAGAAGUCAUAAGUUGGAGGCUCAUCAUCAAUAUCAUAAAGACGGACUCUUAUAUAACAAACUCUCAACAGCGGUUAUAUGCGCGGUGUGAAUUUUAUUUUAAGCAAAUCCUGGCAGGUGGUGUUGGAGUCUUAAGAAAAGGAAGCCAAGGCACACUAUACGCCGGAAAAGUGAAGGCAUUUGGUGUUCCCCGUUUGCUAGCUAUUUCCAGUGCAGUUUGCAUUUACUAAAUUUAGUGAUUACAAAAUUGGAUCCCUCGGUCUACACUGCUCAAUUAUGCAGUGCAAGUUUGUGGAACAUUUUUCCAGCUUUUGCAACAAAAUAACGGCAUUGUUCAUUUUUUUUUUACAGACAUUGCACUUAGGCUGGAGUGGAGUUCUUUUAUAUUGUUUUUCAAAAGCUAUGUUCACAAAACUGAACGGAACGAUAUAGAUGAAUCGUAUGAGUCAAGUCAUUGGCAAUUAACACCACUUCUUUUUCAAAAUAAAUUAAACAGAUGCUUUUGAUCAUAUAACACAAGUCUCAAAUUCAUAUACAGCUAAAAACUUCACACGGUUUUUUCAAUUUUGCACCAUAUCUCAGAUUCAUAGCACAAUCUAAUACUCCCUCUCCUCUGACUCUUUCAGUUUCACAUCUGAUUUUUAUUUUCUCCUCAGAUAAUCAACAUUUAAAUUAUCUUUUUAGACUAUUAAUGCUUUAGAAAUAAUGAUAAAUAAAUAUCACCUGCAAGACUUUGAUGAAUAUGAGAUGUUAAAACUGAGGACACAAUUUGGAGCAUUAAAAACUAUACCUGAUUUGUGUUAUUCUUUGCUGAAAUCUAGAAAAGCACAUGGCACAUGGCUAUCCUCUUGUGUAUCGUGUGGUCACUCUUAUUCUCACACUUCGUGUUUCUACAGCUACUACAAAGUGUUCUUUUUCAGCUAUAAAUAUGCUUUGCGACAAGAUGGAAGUCAACUUCAUAUAUCAAAAUGAUGCCAUAAUAUCUCAUCAUAAUUAAUGUUUAAUGACAGAUCAACUCAAUCUAAAUCAUCCUUACACAAUAAGGCUAGGAGCUAAACAUACAAGCAGAUCAGAAUCAUUCUUCUACAAAGCAUCACGAGCAGCUAUUCGGCAAGUUAUUGCAUCUUCAAGUGAUGAUAUUCCAAGUUCCAAGGCAGAUAUCUUGUAAUGCUGAAACAUAACAAAUUACUGAAUAUGCUAGUUGGCACAAAAAGGUGCAAAGUAAUAUGAAAGCCCUGACAAACCUUUUGUAUCUGGGGCAGGUUUGCUCUCCCUUUCAGCUCCUCCAGGUCAAUCUCUUUUCCAAUGACGAGUUUCUCUAUGGCUUUUAUCUAGUAAAGAGAGACAUAUAUCAUUUUAGUUAUGUAAGUGGCAAAAAAUAGGUGCCAUAUUUAAUUGUAGAAUCUUCUCACCUCAUCAGGAGUAGCAUCAAAUCGAGCAGCAAGGAUAUAGGUUGUGCUUUCAGAGAUGCCACAUCUUUUUAAAGAUUCAGUAAUCUAGUUGCAAGACAUGCUGAAAUUAGCAACUCUAAUUGGAAAUGUGAACCAUAACAGGUUAAAUAGAAAUACAUAAUUACAUGUUUGGACCCUGAGUAGUUGUAAACGAGCUCGGAAUGAAGAGUGCGUGUGGUCAAAGAGUCCCGUGACUUGGUUACAAGUGUCUUGUGAGCAGCUGCUAGAACAGGGAAAAUAUCUGGAAUCUGGUGCAGUUGAGAACAGUGGUAACAUCAGAAAGAAGCAAAAGUGUUUUGUUAAAAAUACAAGCACCAACAUCAUUGGGAUUCUUUCAUUACCAACAUAAGAGGAUCAUGUUAUGAGAGAGAAAGAAACAAAGUUAAAUUAAUAGAUCCUCUAUAAAUGAAUGUGGGUCACAAUGUCCUACUAAUUACUUCUGUAUAUAUUCUCUCACAACACGACUUUCUCUUGUGAGGAAGUAAGUGAAUUCAGAUGAGCUGGUAAAUAGCGAUGGACAUGACAUAAAGCACAAACAUAAGAAAUUAUACAAGUGAAGCAUUGAGGAAUGCAACUUCUGGCUCCAAUGUCCCAGCUUGCAUACUUUCCAAUAGUUCCCUGCAAGAAACAUAGUUACAUAAUAUACUUCCGCUAAGAGCUGGUUCCUAAUAUCAUGGAUCAAUAACAGUAUUUUCAUAAUGUAUUAUGUAUAUCUACUUUUACAGAUUGUUUUAUGUGAUGAUAAAUAGAAUUUUAUUUGCAAUCGCCUACUUGAUUAGGAGGAAUCGACAUACGAAAUGCAAUUGAUUGCAAAUGAAUUGUUGUAAAAGGACAACCAGGACCAAAUAUUGUGAAUAGUUAUGACGACACUGGUAAAAAGAAACAAAUUAAACUCUAAUUACGGUUAAACUGAAUUUUGAGAUUAAGCGAUCCCUUGUAAUACUGAAUAGCAAUAUUUGAUGGCCACUAAAAAACAAGCAUGCACCCUGAUAACCACUUACCAUAGUGCCAUAACAAAGAAGUGAAAAAGUGUUGUAACUUUGAUCCAAACAUAACUACGUACAGAACAUGACCUCGUUGAUAGUUAUCCUAUGUUGCAUAGUUACAUAUACGAGAAUACGACAAUUUUAAAAAUAUUAAGGUACGGGGUACAUCCAUAAAAAACACGAGAUUUGUUAUAUAAAAUAAAAUAAAAGAGCUAAAUUCUUCAAUUCACAGCAAAAACAACACAAUAAAAGUUUAAAAAUUCAAAAAUUGUGUUUGAGUGAAUGUAAGGAACUAUUACUGCGUUCUCAAUAUCUCAAGUUCUUGGAGAACUAGUUCAGGUGGCUUAUUGCCAUCAAAUAUGCUCUUAUUGCCCUUCGUUGCUUGGUAAAAAAUUGUGGCUUUGACAAAAUAUCCGAUUCAUUACGAUACAACAAUGGAAGCAUUGAAAGCUAUUUUGUCCAAUAAGUAUAGUUUACCCAAAUUGUUGAUCUGUGCCAAAUGUCAAGAAUGCAUGGUUUAUCUUGUUAGGAAAGUUGGGCCAGAUGAUUUCAAAGAGCGGGAAGCUGUUCAGGUGGUGGAAUCUCUAAUAUCACUUGAUGGAAAAUUGAGCAAUACAGAAUACUUAACAAAAUGUAUCAUUUUAAAGGCUUUGGAUCAAAUCUGUCAAUGCCCAAAAGUGAGUGUUGACAAAUUUAUAGAUAAAAUUAUGCCAAUGUUGAUUGCAUGUGCUCAGCCCCUUCUUAACUUAACGGGCGAGGAGUCCAAGGAUGAUAGCCUAAGCAACGAGGACAAGCGUUUGGUUGAAACUAUGAGAGCCCAGGCUUGUAAUACAAUGUUUAUACGUUUUCCCCCACAUUGCCAAGGUCACUCCAAUGUUUAUAUGUUUGCUUGGUUGUUCUAGUUCUGAAAUUCGCAAGGCUUCUAUUUUAGUUAUAGCAAGUGACAAAAGUAAUGACACUAAAAGAGAUACAACUUUCAUCAUUGUGCAAGCUCUGACUCAAGUGCUGAAGACGGAAAUUGAUAGGGAUUUGUCUACAUUAGUAUUGAGGUUACUUGGCAGAUGCAUUCAGACCUCUAGUUCAUUUUUCACUGAUCAAUUGAUCAAGAUUGUUAAUGACGAGAUAAACGAUACAAUAAGAAGGAUUAUUAAAUUUGAAAUAGAGAAAGCACAAGAGGCGGGGACCUCGGAGGAUGUAUUUAGAUCUUUGUCAGUGUAAGAAACAAUUGAGGAAGUAGUCAACUUAACAGCAACAGCGAUUCAAAAAUUUGAAGACCAACUCAUGCUACCUGUUAAUGACCUCAUGUCAAAUGUUGCCAUGUUUUUGGUAUCAUAACAGAUAUAUUUUUAUCUCCUGUCUUGUUUUAGAGAAAAAUUAUCCUUGUGCCCAGCUGCAUGCUACAUGGGCGAUUGGUAUCUGUGCUAUGUUUGGAGGAGAUCAAUUUAAAGCUUCUGUUAGUGCGGGUAUCUUACAUCUAGUAAGGUCAUCAGUAAAAGACUUUCAACUAGUGAACUAUAUGUAGAUGGAAAUGUAAAAACAUUAUGUGAUACCGCAGUUGCAGCUCUUGGAAGAAUCUGUGAAUUUCACCGUGACAGUACCGGCCCUACGGGGGUUAAAAGAUGGUUAUACUUCUUGCCACUGAAGCAUGAUUUCAAGGAAGCUAGAUAUGCACAUGGGCUGUUUUCUAAAUUGGUACAAAGGUCAGAUGAACACCUAUUUGGAAGUUAUCAUGAGAAUCUUCCCAAGAUUAUUUUGGUCGUAAAAGAAAUUUUAUCCGGACAUAACCGCCUGGGGACUGAGGAAGCUACUAAUCAGAUGAUUGACUUCAUAGAUCAACAUGAUGGAAUGGAAAUUGGAACUGAGGAAGCAUCAAGCACUAUACGUUCCUCUAGUUAUUAGGCUUCAAUUGGAACUGAAGGAGGUGUAUGAUUUUUUGGUUUCAAAUUGAAUUGUACAAUAGAAGAAAAAGAAAGGAAGAUUUCAAUUCCAAUGUGUAAAGGUACAGAAAGAUUUGUACAUACAAUUACGAAUAAUAUAACCACAUUUGCACAUGCAAAUAAUACUAAUGGGCAAAAAAAGAAAAAAGAAUGAAGUUAAUGUUCAGAGUAGUUAGUUAUAGUUUUUAUUCUCUUAGUCCAUUUAUGAACAACUCAAAAGCUGUUCAUAACAAAUACACAUGCUUAAGAGCUUCAAGCAAUCAAUAUGAUCCAUCCCAAAGAGUGGCUAGCAGUUUCAUGAAAACUCGAUUCAGAUAUGAAGUAAUUCUAACAAGUUGGUAAAAAUUCCUUUACUUUAAUAUUAAUUUAAAGGUGACAUUACUGUAGAAUUUACAGCAUAUUCAUUAAACUGCUAAUUGCACCAGAAGUGCAAAAAAGCUUCAAAACAUCAAGAAGAUACAAGUCGUUAAAACGGCGCCCACAAUUGGUAAAAAGAGAGAUGAAGAGAAAGACUAACUUUGAAUUGGUGACAUCAGUGUAGAGUGAAAGAGAAAUAGUGGUUCCAUUGAUGUCGAUGAGCUUCAUAGCUUUUGUUUUGGGUGCUGCUGAAUGAAUGAAUGAAGACAAGACCUAAUAGGGUUUUCCUAAUUAUUUUUAGGGGUAUUAUGGUAAUGUACAAAUGGGUAAAUUUGGUAAUUAAUAAUAAUAAUAAUAAUAAUUGGUCACAGAGAGAGAGAGAGAGAUGUUGAUACAGUUAAAACUAAGAGAGAUUUGUUUCCUGGGAAUCUUUUCGGUUCAAGAUGUUAAAGAGAUUCAGUUCAUUAUUGAUUCUGGGUUUCAUAACCUUCUCUAUAUCAUCACUCAUAUUCAUUCUCAUUCACCAAAACAACUCAAUCUUCAAUUUUGUUGAUGGAUUUUCCAACAUCAAUGCUACUACUGUUACUGUUACUGUCUUCAAACAAACACCUCAAAAUGUUGUUACUAACUCAUCGGUAGGUAAGACCAUUGUUACUUUUGAAUCACCUAUUCUUCUUCUUCUUCUUCUUCUUCUUGUCAAUCUCUCAAGCAUCUACAUAACACAUGUUAUUUAUUACAUUCUAUUAUUAUUGGUGUCAGUGUCUCUGUGUCCGUAUCAGUGUCUUUACCUCAAUGCUAUUUAUGUUUCUAACAUUUUUAUGUGUCUAAUUUGUGUUGUUAGAUAAGGUGUUGGGAGACAAAUAUCAAAAUCUUAUGCCUGCUCGGAUCUUUCAAUCUCAACAACCUCCUCAGACACAUAAAAUCUCAGAUAUUGGUAAUAAAGGUUAGACAAAAUUACUCCACAUUUAUAGAAUUAUUCUUUGUUCUUUCUGUUAAUUUCAAAAUUAUUUUACAUUUAUCAUACUUAGCAACCUUCUAUUGCUUAUGUUGGUAAAAUGAACACUAAGAUGGUUUCAUUCACUUUCGUGUAGAAUUGUGGACUUCAAUUUCAUAUAGAAUUGUGUAUGAUGCAUAUUUUAUUUCCACACUACAGGUCCAAAAUAUGAUUCACUUGAACACCAAAAGAAGCAUCAUUCUCUAGCUUCUGCUAAUGACCGAUUUCUUGAUGGACUACUAGUUUCCACAUUUGAUGAAGCAUCAUGCUUAAGUAGAUUUAAAUCUCACUUAUACCGCAAAGCUUCCCCUUAUAAACCUUCUGCAUAUCUGUUAUCCAAGCUACGAAACUAUGAACAUCUUCAUAGAAGUUGUGGACCAAAUACCAAACCAUACAGCAAAAUCAUGACAAAGGGUCCAAAAUUUAGCAAAGGUGAUGCCGAUACAAAGUGCAAAUACCUUGUAUGGACAGCUUCCAAUGGAUUGGGGAACAGGAUGAUAACCUUGGCGGCAGCGUUUCUUUAUGCUAUUCUUACGGACCGGGUUCUACUUGUCAAAUUUGGCGCUGACAUGUUUGGUCUCUUUUGUGAGCCUUUUCCUGAUUCCUCGUGGUUAUUGCCCAGGAACUUUCCUUAUUGGAAAGAUCAGAAACAUAUUGAAACCUAUGAAAGCAUGCUAAUGAAUAGCAAGAAAAACAGAUCAAAGGAGCUUUUGCCACAAUUUCUCAUUCUUAAUUUACAGCACACCCAUGACGGUCAUAACAACUAUUUUCACUGUGAUCAGAGUCAAGCUCUUCUCCAGAAAGUUCCUGUUCUAAUUUUGCGGUCGGAUCAAUAUUUUGUCCCUUCUCUUUUUAUAAUUCCUUCAUUUAGCCAAGAACUAAGCAAAUUGUUUCCCGAGAAAGACACUGUUUUUCACCAUUUGGGACGUUACCUUUUUCACCCUUCCAAUGAGGCAUGGGAACUAAUUAGCAGGUUCUAUGAGACACACUUAGCCAAGGCAAAUGAGAAAAUUGGAUUGCAGAUUAGAGUGUAUAACCCUCACCAAGUACCACAUCGCACCAUCGUCAAUGAAAUUAUAGCUUGCAGUCUUCAGCAUAAGUUGUUGCCCGAAUUGAACGUGCAGAAGACAGCAAAAUCUUUUUUGAAGAAGCAGACACCAAAAGCUGUUCUAGUGGCUUCUCUAUAUUCCGAAUAUGGUGAGCAGCUGAAGACUAUAUAUAAGGCAAAUACAACUGUAACCGGGGAGGUAAUAAAAGUUUAUCAGCCAAGUCACGAAGGGCGUCAAAAAUCAAAUAAUGACACACACAAUAUUAAAGCAUGGACUGAAAUAUAUCUACUGAGUUUAUGUGAUGCAUUGAUUACAAGCCCCAAGUCUACUUUUGGGUAUGUUGCUCAUAGUCUUGGAGGUUUGAAGCCAUGGAUUCUGCACAGGGCAUAUGGGGAAACCAUCCCAAAUCCACCUUGUCAACGAGCCAAGUCCAUGGAGCCUUGUUUCCAUUACCCUCCCAAGUAUGAUUGCAGGGCCAACCUAACAACUGAUUUUACUUCCCUUUUUCAUCACAUGAAGCAUUGUGAAGAUAAAAAUGGUGGGUUGAGGUUGGUUAAUGCUAAUCGCUAGGUAAUAAACUAACUAUUACAACCAGCUCGGAGUUAUCUACUUGAUGUGCUAACUAAUAUCAGUACUUAACUUCAUACUUCUAUGUUCAACCAUAUUUGAGGUCCUCAAGUACAGUGAAGAAGAGUGUUAUUGUCCCCUAUUUUCAGUCAAGUACAUUGAUGGAAACCUCACAUGACUGAAGUCCUCUGCUUGUGCUAGUGCUAAUCUAUUGGCAAUGAGAUGAUAAACAAAUGAACGUCGCACGACUGAAGUCCUCUGGUGCUUAUCUGAGGCUUGAGGCUUGCAUGGUUAUGCUUAGCUGUUAUUUGUUGGACACCCCUUGAUGUGAUUGGAAUAUGAUUUUCUAAUAAGCAUUAUUUUGAGUCAACCAAUUUGUGUAAAAUCAGUUCUUAUCAGAGUUUCUUCAUGUUGUGCUACUGGUAUUAGGUACUAACCUUGUAAUUAUUUCUGUGUGCUUUUAAUAAGAUAUAAAUUGGGAUAUAGAUUGUAGUUAGUUCUGGUUUCAAAUUGGGAUAUAAAUUUUAUAUUCUAGACUUGUUUGUUUGCUUUAGUAUCUGUUUGUUUUCAUGUUAGGGAGAGUGAAAGGUGAUUCUAAUCAUAUAUAAUUGGUUUUGACAUGAUUGAGUGACAUUGAUUUGAAUUGAUUUUAACUUAAAGUCAGGAUUUGUGAUCUUUAUUUUAAAAUAAGGUAUGGAGCCUCAAUUAUAAUGCAUUAAUUCCUCAAAUUAAAUUAUGAAUGCUAUCAUGAACCAUUGUGUUGGGUAUUUUUAUGUUCAACAUACGAUACCUGUCAAUCUGUCAUAUUCUUUAUAAAAUUUAAUAGUAGCAACACGUGUCCUUAAUGAGCUUUGAGUUCAGCAGUUUUUCUUAAUUUUGCUAAGGUUCACUUGCAUAGUGACCACUUUGAAGCAACUAUUACCUCAUGAUGUUUCUAUUUUCCCCCCUAUGAAUCAUUUCCUUUUUUUAGGGAUUUCUUGAUUUACGACUGAUGCCUUGGAUUCGGAAUAUGUUAACUCCUUGCUUAGCGAUAGUUCCUAGUUUGAUUGUUGCGGUCAUUGGUGGCUCUACUGGGGUUGGAAGCUGGUAAUAAUUGCAUCUGUAAAAUAUCCUUGCCAUCAAUUUUAAUCGAGUUGUUUUAGUCCUAAAAUAUCUUCUAAUGCUUUUCACUUGAGAAUAUGUACAUGUUAUAAACAAUACAUUGUUUAAAUUUUCAUGUUAUGAUAUCAUGGAAGUUUCUCGUAUAUUUGCAACUCAACUGCCCUGUGGCCGCCACUGUUCAUAACUGCACUGUUUAGCUUCGUAUGAAGAUAUGCUGUUUUAUGGGCUGAGAACCAAAAUGAAGUUACAUAAGCAUAGAUUUAUUCUCUAACAAAAAUAUCUGUCAAUGCAACAUCAUUUUUGUUGCUCCUGUUUUGGUGUAUGCAUUCAUUUUUGUUUAGAACAGAACUGAUUUAUGCUAAAGCCCUUCUUUGUUUGCUGAUAAGAUGAUCCUAUCAUUUGAGCUUCCCUUUGCUUUGGUUCCACUCCUCAAGUUCACCAGUAGCAAAACCAAGAUGGGAGCACAUGUUAACUCUACCAUGGUAUAGUUUCUUUGUUAACACAAAUCUGUACUUCUACCUUGCAAGCAUAUAUGGUAAAUUAACACAUACCUGACAAAGUUGUUCAACAAGUUCUGAAUCAUUGCGCAGAUAUGCUGUUUCAAAACUGUAAUUAUAAUAGAUGCAUACAUGUUUUAUUUACUGUAAAUAUAACGGAUCAAUAACGGAUCAAAAUUUUGACCGAGACGCAAUUUUUCAUUUUGUUUUUCCUGCACUUGGAGAACUUGCUAGAAAAAGUUUUUUGUUUUGUAUGUUGUCUUACGUAGUAUUUACUUUUACUUCUUAAUCACAGAUAUCCGCUGUUACUAAUCGGUUCCCUUAUUAUGGUUAUUAAUAUAUAUACUACUUAAUGAAUGGUUUCAUUAAGCUGCUUCUUCAUAGUGACAUAGAAAUUGUGGCCAAGGUGCUUUUUGGGAUAUUAGGAUUUUCAGGCAAGGCAGCAUAUUUGGUUGGUAUAGCUUAUCUUGUACUUCACAAAAAUAAAGAGGGUGCACACCUUUUGGCUGUAACAAACAGCACCCGAAAGUUGGUAAAUGGCAAAUGAACGAGUAAACGGAUCAAUUUAUUGUCAUCCAAGAGAAGACAAAGUAAACAUGCAAUUACCUCAGCGAAGUAGUCCUGCAGAUCUUGACUGACAAAAUUAUAUGUCAAUAAGAUGGGGGCGGUGUUCAUUCACUUUCUUCCCCGACAGUUUGCUUAAUUAAUUAAUGUAUAAUAUUCUGACCCUACAUCACUCUUUGAUACACAAUCUUUCUUUUCAUUUCAAUGUUUUCAUCAUUCUCUUUUCGAUGUGAAGGGUAAUGUUUCAGCUCAGAUUAGAUGUGUUCCUCAGGAUGUUAAAAAAAAAGAAGGCGUGUUCCUCGAUUCUCAACUUACCAAUUUUCUUCUCAUUACUAAUGCAGCUACUGAGAUACUUUUUUUGUUGUUGUAAUUAACUGUUGUGGCUUUCAUUCUUGCAUUUUUCAGAGGAUCAUGAAACUGUUUCCUUGGCUUUGAAAGUUCGUUAGAUUGGAACCCAGCUUUAUGAUUGUGCUUCACUGAAUGAUUUGCUGCAGAAAGGGGAAAAACACGCGAAUAUGGUUGUCCCAUGUUCUGAUUUUUAUUUUUUUUAAACUAUGCUACACAUGUCUUUAAGUUAAAGAUUUAGUAUGAACUGUUCUUUGUAAUGCUGUUACUCAUGGAUAAGUGAGUUUGGAAAAUUACUUCCUCAUAUCUUGUAGUAUAAGAGAUUUGAAAUAAAAUUUCCUCUAACAAUAUUUCUAGAUAUUCUUAAUUUCCAUGGAGCAGAACACAUUCCAAAUUUUGUACAUAGCUUCUAUUUCUAUAUGAACAUUUUUUUUUUCCCAUGACUAACAGUGGAAACUUGCAUUCUCACCUCUUCCUCCCACCAUUAUAAUUUUAAAACACACUCACAAAAGUAUUCAACCAUGCAUGUUUUCCAAUUUACAUGGUAACUUCUCCUUUUCCUACACAGGGAUUAGAUUAGUUCACUUUUCCUGCACAUAAGGUUCACUAUGUGUAUGGUUCUGUUCAGUACUGAUACCCAAACAGUGGAGACAUGUAAGUCUACUUUGAUAAUUUGAAAAAUAAACAAUAUCCACAUAACUAGUGGUAGUAAAUAAAUACAAACUUGCUUAUUAGAAUCAGCUUAUCAACUCCAAACAGAUUGUAGAGGUAUUAGACUCAAGUUAUAGAGUCAGAACUCAGAUAUUUUAUGCAGUUAAAAGCGAUACGCAUUAGUUUAGAGAAAUAAAACAGUGAAUUAGCAGGAAUCAGCAUAGUUCAACUUCUGAAAUCUGAACAAAAAUGAAAGCAACACUUUCCGCAACUAAAGGAAUCGGUAGUUUUCCUCGAUUACUUCACAAAAGUAUAAGAUAUUUGGUUAAAAUCUUGUAGUAAUCAUAUACCUACUCACUACUAGAAUGCAAAUAUAAGAUCCUUUCACGAGAAACCUUCCCAUAUAUUAUUAAAGAAAAUGCUAUUUCGGAGCCUUGAAACAAACAAGCCGGAUCCUCAUCAACUAAAAAGGUCCCAACAGUUUUAAGUUAUGAGAAGACACUGUUUCUCUUUCAUCAAAUAUUCAUUAACAGAGCAUCCAUCGCUCCAAAUUCUAUCUUCACUUCAUCUCUCUCACCGUCUCCUUUAUGCCACCCAUCUAUACUCUUCCCACACACGCUAACACCCUUGUUUCUCUCCUUUCUCUCCCUCUCCAUGAUCGUACUUCCCUUCCCAUGGCAAACCCAAUUGGUUUCUGAUUUCCCUCAUUCUUUCUGCUUUAAUCAUUUAGUCGUAUUUCUCUUUCUUCAAUUUCAUUGUUUCAUUUGAUAGUUGACUGGAUUUCUUGAACGGCAAAUCUGAUGAAUCAAAGACGGCGGCAGAACGGUGAUUGUUCAAUGUAGAAGACCUAUCAUGUAAGUGAGUUGCGAAUGUUUAAUUUUAAUCCGUUUUUAAGAACUUUGUUUGAAUUUGAUUAUGAUAUCCCUCAUUAGGUUGAAGAUGCUACUACAAAAAGCUUGAGUGUUAUGAUAUCUUAGUUGCUAAAUGUAAUCCUACUCAUAGGUUGUGUGCUAAAUUUAGGAUACUUAUACUUAGUUGCUAUACUCAUUACAUUCAACAAUGAACAAUAGGCUGCUCAUAUGUCGUGUGCUCAAGGUCAGUCCUACCUCAAUUGAUUUCAUUACUUGAAAAUAACAGAUGAUCAAAGGACUAAUAGCAGAUUUGUGAUUGGUUAAUGACGGUUUCUUCAUUGGAUCAAAUUUUUAAAAAAGAGGCAAAAGUCUAUCUUUGGUUUAAGCUUAUGCAUUACAGAGACUUGAAGAUUAAAUAAUCUUUAUAGCUGGUUUAUAAUAUUGUAAUGAUAUGUUAUUAUAGUGUGCACAUGAGAUCAUAAUCUAAAAACUCCUAAUAUGCACAUAAUUUUCCACUGAUAGUGUCCUUUUAUUGUGUUUCGGUAUUCUUUUCAUAUUGAGAUUAGCAACUAUAUUUCGGCUCAUAAGACCCGUGCGGCGCACGGGUCACCAAUCUAGUAUAUAUAUAUAGAGGACAUAUCAGGUGAGAUGACUAUUUAAUAUGAGAGGGUGAGAGGGUUAAUUAUUAACCAUUAGAUUGAGAUAAAUGGUUGAGAUUAUAUUGGUCACUAAAACAACACAUGUAUCUCAUAGAUGUUUGUUUCGAGGUUUUUUCAAGUUGUUUCAGGUCCAGCGCUUCUUCUUCCAGCAAAACCCAACAUUGGUGAUGAAGAGGAAAAACACAGUCAGAUUUUUUUAUUUAUUUCAUGAAUGCAAUUUUUCUUGUUACUAUUAAAUUUGUUGAAGAUAAGUCUUUGCAAAAGCAAUCAAAUCCACUUCUCUUUUUAUUUUUUCUUUACUCUACGAACCAUAAUUGUUGGUUAACUACCUAUAAAAAUUAAGCUAGAAAAUCUAUCCUACAAAAUUCAAGGUCGAAGAAAGACGGGAUUGUAAAUGGGUUUCAACUUGAUUGAAAAAUUCAUGGUUGCCGAAUCUGGAAUGGAAGAAGAUAAGAAUGGGUCUUUAGUUGAGAAAACCAAACUAUGAAUGGGCUUCGAAUUGUGGUGUAGAUUUUAUUAAAAUUCCAUUGCUGUUAUUAUGAAGUUGAAGAAACAACGGAUAUGAAGUCCAUUGUUGUUGUGAUGGAGCAAGAGAGAGAAGAAAGGUGAAAACCGAGAAGGAGGAAGGAGAAGGAAAAAUAAUCAUGUGCAAUCAAUUUUAUAUAAAGCUUUUAAUCUGAUUCGCUCAAUUUGAUCUAAUGGCUAUUAAUGAAUCCUCUCAUCCUCUCCUUUAAAAAAUCUUCUCAGACUAAAAAUCUAACUCCUGUAUAAAGAUUUUAAAGAAUAACUUUAAAAGUAAGAAAAAUUCAACAAAAGAUAAUAGGAAAGAAAGAUGUACAAUGAACACGUGAAAGGAAAAAAAAAAAAAAAAUGUAAAGCUAAAAAAAAAAGUGCAAUCCAGAUGUAUGGAGCAAAACAAAGGUAGGCAAGUCACUGAGUCCGUAUCUCUUUCCUCUUUUCCAUCUCUUUACUCUUCAUCCUUCACUUAAAUAACUUCCCUUUAUUUUUAUUUAUUUUUUAGUCACACCAAACCUAAAAAUUUAAACAUACAUGUAUGUAAAAUAAAAAAGAGAGCAAGAGGUAUAAGUAAUAUCAUCUAAUGGGGAUCCUUUAAAAAGUGAGAAUCAAGACAAUUAAAUAAUUAGAUUAGCAGUUAGUUUGGCAAAAUCAUCCAAUUUGGGAAUUCAACCAAACCCCGUGACAACGUAAUUUCGUCAAAGUCACAAUCAUUCCAAACAUGCACGAAGUGUGCGCUAAACACCGCAAUCACGCAGAAAAUUACAGAGAACCAAAAACUACACUUAGAGCUUCUAAAAAUAACAGUGAAUGAGCUAUAAACUCAAUGGGGCAAUUAUCUAUCGCUAACCAAACACGUUUUGAUACAAAAAAUAACAGUGAAGGAGCUAUAAACUCAAUGUGGCAAUUGUCAAUCGCUAACCAAAUACGUUUUGAUACAAAAAUUAGGGUUUGACUUUACCCUUGAAAUGACCAUAGUGUUGAUCAAGUGUAUACAUAUCUCCAAUGCUAAAAGCAACAGACAGACAUAGCAACACAAAGUGUGUGUACAAAAGAUUUGAAAGAGUUUAGCUUUAACUGCUAUUAUAAUAAUAAAAGAAAAAUGUUACAUGAACACCCUUUAUUCCUACACCUCAUUGUACACUCCAUGUAUUAGGGAUAUUUUGGUAAGUUCAUCUCACAACCACACUUUAUCUUCUAUUUAUGUGGGUCCAAGUUGCCACAUGUCAGAAUUUUGUGUGGAUGUAAAGGGUAUAUUGCCACAUAGGAUGGUACAUUUAUCAUCACUCAUAAUAAAAACAUCCAUGACAAUGUUGAACAACAAAGGCAAAAUGAAUCACAAAAAACUUCCAAAACAUAGUUAAUAUGAAAUAAAGAGAAACAUAACAAAACAUAGUAAAUAUGAAAUAAAGAGAAACAUAAAUCGAAUAACAAAAGAAGGGAAAUUAAUAUAACAAAGGUCAAAUCUCUAACAACAACAUUUAAAACAUGAGGUGUAAAAACCGUUGGAUAAGAAAUUUUAAGAAAUAUGCAAAAUUUAAAAAUAGAAAACAUAUUUCUUAGGUGUGAGCAACAGAGGGAAAAUGUCUAACAACAAGAUUCAAAUCAUAAAGUGUAAAAACAAAGGCAAGAUAAUUUUAACAAACAUGCAAACUUAAAAGUAUAAAAACAUGAUUCUUCUGAAAUAGUCGACCACCUUGCCUUGUCAUCAUAAGUUUCAUUUUUAAUUUGAUUAAAUUUCUUGUGUAGAGCAUGAUGGCUUACAAAGGAUUAGACAUGAAGUAGCACCAAGAUAAAAAUAAUCUGAAUCAAGUUUUGAAGGAAGGAGCUGAAACAAUGUUCAAGCAGAUUGCAUGGGCUUACGAUGCUCUUAGUGAUCCAAGGAAAUGUAAGAUAAUAUGGUUAUAACCACAUCAAGGACAUAAGUGAUGUAGAUAAGUUAGGGAUUUAUGAAGAGGAGACUACAAAGAUGGUUGAGACUACGAGAACAAAAUUAAUGAGUAUCCUAGAAGAACUAUAUGAAGAUUGAAUGUGUUGAUCAAAAUAUUAUUGCAAAUCGAUUUAGGGUUAUCAUUAAUGUUAAAAUUAAGAUAGCGAUAAGUGAUAAUCCAAAUUGAUUAGCAAUAGGUCUUUUGAUCAAUAUCUAUUUUUAUGCAACCUUUCUAAAAAAAAGAGCAAUGAAAAAACAUGCAAAAGACAUGCUUACUGCGCGCGACGGAGAGAACUUGAUUGCACGACUAGAAUUGAAGUCGCACUGAGACGGUGAGAGAUUGAAUUGAAGGAGAAAUGGUUUUUUUUUUCGUUUAUAUUCAACUAGGGGUCACACGUGAUCUCGCACUUGGGUUCAUUGUCAAAUUUUUAUUUUGGUAAUAAAUGAUCAAAUAUUUGCAUGUUUUUGAUUGUAAAUGUUGUUUAGACCAAGUUAAGUUGAAUGUUGUAUAUUCUACACUCGAGAGAAAUAGAACAAUGAGUAGGAAUAAAAAUAGUGAUACACGUGUUUGAGCUCGUAUCAAAAAGCAUACUUCAACUUCAGAAAUCUGAACACAAGUGAGAGAAACAAUCCCCUAAACUAUGAGUCGCUGGUUUUUCUCAAUCACAAAACUACAAGAUAUAUUGUGAUAAUCUUGUAGUAAUCGUCCCCUAAAUUAAUUUCAUACAUUUAUGAUAGAAUCAGUUCAGUUGAGAAUCCUUCACCAUAAAUUUUUUAGCAUAAGACUAAAGAAUCACAACCAAUAUUCAGUAUCUCAAGCACUAAUUAGAUUGAUCCGUGUUGAUUUAUUUAUUAUUUUUAUUUUUUGCAAAGCAUAACCUAAAAGGCUUAUUAUUUGCAAUGGAUCCAAUGUUUUCAAAUGGAUAAAACAUGUAUUUAUAUGUAUUGAACCUGAGAACCUUCCCCUAAAGUUUUGUUGUUGUCAAUUCUGAACUUUUCCUUUCAUAUUGCAUCGUCAUCUAAAUCUUUCUCUUUGUAAAUAAAUCAAAACACUCAAUGAUAAUUUAAAAAUGUUUUUACACUACACAUGGGAUGAAAGGGAGUUUCAUUAUUCACGUAAAUGUGCUACAAAAAUAUGGAAUCUAUAUAUUUGUCUGGACCAGAUUUGCAGUCUUGCACAUGCCAAUCCAUAAUUUACUUUAUUUUGUUUUAUCCGGGGAGGUUAAUUUCAAUUAGAUUCCGACAUUUGGAUUGCCUGAACCUGUGGCAGCAACUCCCAUCCCACCAACACCAUCUAAUGAAGCUGCCACUGACUCAUGGUUUGCUGAUUCUUGAACAUCUUUGACAUCCAGCUCAUGUACGAGUUCAUCGAUUUUCCGAAAUUGAUACGGCCAUCUUGCAUUAUAAAGAAAUUGGCGAAGAUCAAACCUAUUAUCCUCUGGUGAAUAACUCUGCAAGUUGAGUGAAAGAUUGUGCAUUUUCAUCAGUCAACAAAAAAAAAAACAGAGAGAGCACCGGCCAAAAUCUUUAGGAGCGUGAAUAGCUACCUAGCAAAAUUCAACCCUGACUUUAAAUCAUAAUAACUACAUACCUCGGCAUGAUAGGAAGGUGUCAAGGUGGUCAUUUUGUGCCGAUUUAUCGAAUAAUACUUGAAGAAGUGUUUUACUUUUUCAGCCACUUGUGAUGGAGUCAAUUUUGCACCCCAUCUGUAACAUAGAUUCUGAGAUGGCAAAUUGAAAAGAAAAAAAAAAAGGUUAGGACUGAACUUAAAAUAGACAGCCUUAAAUUAUAAGCUUUAGACUGCUAACUAGUAGAUGCAAAAAUCUUCUACCAAGUAGAGCUCUCCGUAUCGAUUGAAAACAUGGCAGUUCUAAAAUCAAUAUAAUGUGACUUAGGAUAGAUGGUAAGGAGUUUCUUCUAGUGAUACUUAGCUUAAAAAAUGUGAAUUCUUUUGUUAUUUCAUUAGCUCUCGUCCUAAAGAAAAAAAAUGCCUUUUAACCAUUUUUUAGAUAAAUAGCCUUUUGCAAUAAAAGCUCACACAAGGAACUCCUCUUUUAUUUUCAAAAAAGCAGGUAAAGUUUUAUAACUGGAUGUUUGAUAUGUCCAUCUGUUCAAUAUAUAGACAAGAUCUGGUAUUGUGUUUUUACAGACAGUUGUGGGUGCGAGAUUACAAACACAUCCCUAAGUGUCUCUUUUGCUAGUAAUAUUAUGGACCAAAUUGAUUAACGUAAGACAUAUUCGAGGACCAAAAUGAUUAACAAAAGACACAUUUAGGUAUGCCUUUGUAAUGUUGAUACGUCCAAAGACUGCUGUGACAGUGACCAACAAAUUUAAAGAGCAAAAUGACAGUUUACUCUAGUUUCUUGCCAACAGAAAAAAUGAGUCAAUAAGUUACUGAUAUUGAACUUAUUUUGGCCUUGCAGGACCAGCGAACAACAAAACCAAUUUCAUCGACCUGUCAAAUGACAUGCAGGUAAGUUAGUUAUAGGCUUAUAGCCUAUGGGGUUUAUCUUUCUCGGCUUUGCAUCAUUCUUCAUUGUAUCUGGCCUAACAAAGAUUGAUAUUAUGAGAUGGUCAUGCAUAAGAUUACCACAUGUUUUCACUGUUCCUUCAACCAUUUUAAUAUGAAAAAUACAAAAACGAAAAAAACAAGGGAAAGGUUAAAGAAGUCAAUAGAUAGGAUGGAGAAACAUGGGAUAUACCUGGAACAUGGAAACUGGACCACAACGGAAAAUUUUGCGUAGUCUUCCAUAAACAGAUAGUUCCUCGUAAGUCAUUCCCAUAUCAACUUCAUCAAGCUGCUCAAUUAAGAACGAGUGAGGUAUUCGAUUAUAAUUUUAAAAAUUGAUCAAAAAUAUAUUACUAAUGGAUAAAAAAAAUAAAAAAAAAUACCCAGGAGAACAAGGCCACUGAAAAGUCAAAUACACAAUAACCAAAAACUAAUAGAUACUGUGGAGAACAAAUGAGCAAACUGGUUCCAAGACUUCACCCAAAACCAUCACCCUUAUAACAGAUUGCCAGAAAAUGUCUGGAUAGAUAGAAAGUCAAGACAUUUUAAAAGGUUACUGUGAGCUGAUAAUUAAGCUCUUGCUGCUGUUGAAUUGUCUCUUGUCUUGCAUCUAACAUUGUAGCAUAGACAAAAAUAACAUCCCAAAUACAGUAUGCCAACACAUAUGCAAAUGAAAGGAUUUAUUGAGAUGUUUCAAGACCGGUGAGUACUGAAAAGUGUAACAGAACAUAACACUACCUGACUGUAGUUAGAACGUAUAGGCUCCAGUUCAGCUGUGGGUGGAGCUGCUUCAAUAUCUGCCAAAGAUGAGUAACCAAGAUGGAUGGCUGCCCAUCGCAGGAAUGACCGAAGAUCUUGCUUACUUAUACUGCCAAUGGGAUUUAUAUCCGCUGAGCUGCAAUCAUACUGUAAGAAGAUGAACUUUGAUAACUAGAGUGUAAUAGACCAAAAUAAUGAGAAACUAAAGAAAAUGAAUGAGAAACUAAGUGGCCAUUUGAAGACAAAAAAUUUAUGUUACUAUUUUAUGUUUGACUAAUAAUUACAAAAAUGUCAUCUUAUUUUUUAUUUGUUUCUUGUUUCCAUAGAUUCAGCCAAAAAACAAAGUGAAAAUAAAGCGACAUGUUUUCAACUUAUAGGUACCCUAUUAGUUCAACUAUAUAGGUCCCCUAUAAAAACGUGUAAUCUAACGAUGUAUUGAGAUACCUUCGUCAAGUAGCCACGCAACCCUUCAUCCACGUUGGAGCUCCCCAAGACAAGAUAAAACCCAGGUUUGUUGUGAACCCAAGGCAAGAGUGAUGCUAACAUGAAAGCUAGCACCAUUCUGAUUCGAGCUUGAAUGUUUUGCAAGCUUAAAUUCUCAACAUUAGAUCCACCAUCUACCUGUAUAAACAAAAUCAUACAAAAAAUAUCAUUUGAGGCUACAAGAUGACAAAAAAUAUCAUUAGAAGUAUAACAUGCACUUAAUCUUAGUCCGGCAUUGAUAUGAAUCUGGAUUACGGAAACAGUUUAUAGAUGAAAACAGAGCAAUAAUGGAAAAUAAAGAGUAUUAUUUCAUAAACACAGAAAAAUACUAUAGGAUAAGUCAUGUGAUAUUCCCAUCAUGCCCUUCAGUAUUUCUUUUAACAUCAAAUAUCCACAGACUUUUUGGUUUGGGCAACUGAUGUGCUAACUGUCCCGCUGAGCCCUCUUUCUCAUUCGGUGUCCCAUCAGAGGUCCUGAGGUGGAGUUCUAUGUUGACUUGUUUUAAAAUCAAAAUACCAUUUUUCAUUAAUAUCAACAUACUCCGGUGGAAAAAUCAAGUGUGACAAGCAACCACAUCAUAGACUACACAGUUCUGGAAUUGUAUUUAUGAUUGAAAUAAUGCACUAGUCCAUAAUUCAGUCACCUUGAAGCGUGGUCGCUUUCCUGUAAGUGUUUGGAACAAAGACAAAAGAGCAGAUAUGACUCCAUCAAUGCUAACAUCAAGGUGCCAUGAACCAAUUUCCUCUGCCAGUACCUUGGCUCGCGACUUUGUCAUUUCCGAACUGCAACGUGAAUACUGUUAGUGCACCAUAACAUCUAACGAGGUUUUUUUUUCCAGUUGAUUUCAAAUAACAUAUUGGAAUGUGUUAUUCUUUUUGAACUUAAACUGAUUGACAUAAUAAAAGGAUUUCUUCAGGUAUUACACUGUACAGUAGAAUAGAAUUACAAUUCUAAUUGUUUAAAGUUAUGAAAAGCACCUUAUCAAGUCUCAACCCCAUUAAAACACAUUGGAUUGAAAAAAUAUUAACGGUCAUAUAUCUGCAAUAUCAUUGAUGAAGUAUUGAAGGAAUAUAGCCGAUAUAGAAACUUAGAUAGACACAGCCAAUGAUUGUAAAACACUAGAACAUGAAAAUUAUCACUUACCUGUUUUCAGAUCCCAUAAACACAGUAUAAAAUAUUCUUUUGGCAAAUUCUGUGCUGUCUGUAGGAUACUGUCCAUCUUUAUAGUUUCCGAUCCGUAUUGCAUCAGCUUUAACUUGUUCAUCCCCAUUUGCAAUUUCUGAAGGAAAAUAUGAAUCAGUAGUUAAUGAUAUCCAAACUACAAGGUUCGGAUUUGUAAGGUCAAAUAAUGUUGUUUAUUUCACCUCUGCCACGUCCAAAAAUUGUAAAUGAAAGAGAAAAGGAGAGGUAAAUAGUCUGUAUCAUUUUAACUAUAGACCAUGAUUACACAACUCAGUUUUUCUGUAAGAAGUAAAGCCUGGUGAACUACUAAAAGGACACUAUACUCUAUAUUCAAGCAAUUUUGCAAGACUUUUGAGAAAGGAAAUAUAAACAUUCAGGUCUGCUUCUCCAAUUAAUUCAGCUGUCGGUCAAUUAUAUGUGUGACCUCUUAACUAAUCUUCUUUGAGAUCUUUAUAGUGGUCACGUGAAUAUUUGUUUAUUACUAAAUAAGCAAUCCUAUAAUAGUAUACAAAAUAAUGUAGCUUUAAAAUACUGUCGCAAGUCGAUAAGAUAUAGAAACUUUGAAGGUAAUUCACAUUCCACAAUCUAAUCUAACUGCAGUUAUCAUUGCAUUUGAACUUACCUUUCACAACCAUCUGGCACAUGCAUCCAACAAUCGCAGCAACAGAGGAACUGUCUGCUCCACCAGAAAGAGGGAGCAGAAAACCAGAUGCUCCACUUCUUCGUAAAUAGUCCCAUAACCAGCAACCAGGUCCAAAUGCUAUUUCCUCCUCGGGAGAGUGAUAUUUUAUCUAUAAAUUUAUAAUCAUGUUUCAACUUAGCAACUUGGAGGCCUGAUUAAUUUCAGCAGUAACAUUAUUAAAUCAAUAAAGUGCUUGUGUGGAUUUGAUCAAACGUGUGACAAAAAGUCACGGCAACGUGAAAGCUCCAAAUAGCAGCUUCUUAAUUUUCACAAUUUCACUGCUUUGGAUGCGGUAUUUCAACGUGAUGUGAUUUUUAACUCAAAUCCAAACAAGCACAUAUAAAGAUUAAAAAUUUAGCAUGAAAAAUAAAACCUUGGAGCCAAAUACUCUUUUAAGGGAAAACGGUAUUCAUGGCGACAUCAUAGGUGCACCUUUAAAGCUCAUAAUGUUUAGCUAACUGAAAAUUGCAACUCAAAAUGACAAUAAACACUAACCUUAAGAGGAACAGAAAGGCGUAUUUUAAGGUCAAAAGGAAGACAAAGACUAUAUGGUACAUCUACUGAAGGAACCUUGACUUUACAACUUGCUUGCUCUUGGAAGCUACUUAAAGAUCCUCUAAGGCUUGCAACCUACCAGUAAAGGAACCAAUCUGAUGUAAAUCCUUUAAUGUUUAUGGUCAAAAUGACUUUGCAUUGCAAGCAUUUAAAUAUGGAAACUAAUGCAUACCACGUCAAGAUCUAUCUGAGCAACCACAACCUCAACAUCAUUUAAAGAAAAUUGGGAACCCUGAGCAACAACAUCGCCAUUAACCACAACACUGGAACAUCCAUCUGUUACAAAUGAAAUGAAAAACAAGAUAAAUUUUAGACAAAUGAAAAAAUCCUACAUAAUUGACAUUUAAACAAUCUAAAUGGAAAAUAAAUAUCCUUAUACGGAUUUCCUCAAUGUUGAACUUACGUCGCCCUCCCAAACACACAAUGGAUAUUAAAUGUGAAAAAAGACGAACGGAAUUCUGUUAAGGGAAAUAUUUUCCUACCAUAGUAAAGGCGACCACCAUCACAGCCUUGGUGAUUACUGUACAUAUAGACACCUCCACGAGUAUGAGUAGCACCUAUAAAAGCACGAAGACGAACAUCAAGCUUUCUAAGUUGAUGGUGACUUCCGCUUGCAUUCAUAAACACUUCAACCCCAUUUAAUGCAAGCUCAGCAUGAGGGGGAGAUGGAGUAAAAAGUUCUUCACAAACUUCCACUGCAAUAGCUCUAAGAAUGGGAAAAUGCUUUAUGUUAAGCACAUAAUAAUAAACAUCUGAGUAUAAGUUGGAAAGCCCCAAAAACAUAAAUGAAACACAUACACACACAAUAGUUUGAACACACUACUUAGGUAGGUGUACGAAAGAAUAUGUAGAUAUGUCAAUCACAAGAUUGCCGCAUGGAUGCGAUGCUGAUGCAUAUAACUUUAGAAUGCAUGAGCGUAACAGGUAUCAAUGACCAACAAAUUAUUCAACUCAGCCGAGUAAACACAUCAACGACACCGUCAAACAAUGAUAAUAGAAAAAGAGGGCCAGGGAAAGUAAGGAUGUAACAUUAGCAUUUGAUGGAGAACAGAAAGGUACAGGACAGCGUAUUUUGUUUUGUUAUCUCUGGUUUCACCUACAAUCAGUGUACCAUUACCUUUUACUAUGUCAUGGCAUGUUCUACUUUCAACAUGCACAAAACAUAUAACUAUUGUGUCACAUUUUAAUCUAGGGAAAUGAUAACAUGUACCCUUAUGACACUUGUUAGUGUACUAAAAUAGAAAUUUUGUAUUGGAAAUUGUGCAUUCUAUUUCUCAAAAAGUUAAAAAUUGUUUUUUUUUUUUUUUCAAGACAUCUACUGUUUGUAGAUUCCUUAACAUGUGCUCUUAAACUAAAAAAGUUAGUGCAGCUCUUUAACAUAUGCAUCAACCCAAACACUACAUAUCACCAACAUUUCCGUUGAAGGUAAAUUUGAGUAUCUGACACCAAAUGACAUUGACACUUGUAAUUACAUACAAUCAUUAUUAAUUUUUCAAAUCAUUACUGGUGUCUACAUGUCAGUGUUGUGUGCAUCAUACCAAACACUCUAAUGAGUGAAACAAAAAUAAAGUGUGAAUUUGGCACUUACGUGUCUUGAAACUUAACAAAAGCAUAACCAAAAGGAACAGAUUUUUGUCCCAAUGCCUCAGAAACAUUAAGAGGAAGUUGAAAAUCAUCAAGUUGGUCCCUUUGUUUCCAAGCAGUAAACCAUCGAAGUUCUCUAUAAUUACCAUCAUUUGCAAGCCACAUCUUGGGUCGUAUCAUAAUAAUCUUUCGAUUGAAACACAAAACCUGACAAUUGUAUCUCUCAGAACCUUUGAUAAUAGGCAUUCCAAUACUACACACUAUGUUAUCAGUCCAAUCACCAACCAAUAUAUCUUUCAAACAUUCCCAUCUGCAGCAAAAAGAAAAAAAAAAAAAAAAAAGAAUUUCAGUAACAAAAACAAAAUAGAAAAACACUUGUGAAACAAGAAAAGAAAAGGAGAGAGAACUAUUACGAAUGGUUAAUGGUGUCGAGUUCUAAGAAGUGGUCUUCACAGCCAUAACCGGGGAUUUCAAGUUCGGGUCCAAGGCGGAUGACGGCGCCGGCUUGUUUGGAUUUGGAGAUGGAGUCUUUGAUUUGGAGAAGAUUGGAAUCGAAUUCCAUAGCCCAUUGGUUCAGAUUGCAAGUAGCUACCUUCAAGAGCCUCAUCGUUGAUUAUUAUUAUGAAUGUGAAUUUGUCUAUGUUGUUUGUUGAAGUGAAAAUUGCGAGCGGGUCGUUUAUAUAUUAUUAUUCAACGGUAUAGUAUAUGCUAUGCUUUGAUUCUACGAAGUUACUCAAUUUAGGUCCCCGAAUCCUUGGACGGGUGAUGUUGUUGUUAGUGAGUCGGUAUUGGACUUCACUCCCAACCCGGCCGGAUCAGUGGUUAGUUAUUACAAGACCUGAAAACCGCUUCAUCACUGAACCGGAAAAUAAACCGGUAUAAAAUUGGACAAAACCGGAAAUACAACUCAAUCGUGUUUUUUUUAAUUGGACUGAAGCUUUCGAUUAACUUAUCUUAGGGGGAUGUAUUGGAUUAGGAUUUUAAAAGACUAUUUUAAUAAAAAAAAAGUCUUUAAGAUUUUAAAAGACUGUGUGAGAUUGUAUUGAUUUUGUGAGAUUUUAAAAGACUUUAUACACUCAAGAUUUUAAAGGAUUUAUCAUUCAGACUUUUAAGGAUUUCAAAGGAUUUUAUGUGAUUUUAAAAUUUCAAAGGAUUCAAUGAAUUUUAGGGGAAAAAGAACAAACUUACAAGCGUAAAUGAUAAAAAUAAAUUCCAACGUUUGAAUAAAGAAAAAUAAAACCAAUAAAAAAUUAUUUUACUAUUGAUUUUCAAAUUUUAAGAAUUUUAUAAGAUUUUAAGGGACUAAAAAACACUCUAACACAUUAUUCUCAAUACACAUUUUUUAUUUGUUAAAAAUGUUAUUCCCACAAAAUUCAAUUGUUCAUAUUUAAAAUUAUGCCAGUACUUACAAAUGUUUAAAAAAAAAUAUCGUGUCAGCCAUUACAAAUCGGUCGAGUUAAUUACACGAGUUUACCGAAUGUUAACUCAGUCAAUCUCGUUAAACCUUCCAAUUUUACCAGAAACCGAUUUUACCUCAGAGUUAACACGAUUUUUAUACCUAAAAAGGUAAACUCGGUAAUCUCGGAGAGUUAACACUCGAUUUGUGGAACAUUGAUUACGACAUACUCUCUAUCAUAAUAUUCUCAAUACAAUUUUUUAUUUUUUUUUAUGAGAUAUAGUGAGGGAGAGAGGGGGGAUGAGAGAUGAGAGAAUGGAGAGGUAGAGAAAUACAUUGAUUUCGUCUAAUGUUGCUUAUUUGGAACACUUAUCACCUCCUCCUGAUCUGUUAGACACAAUUAGGAAUGAUGCUAUGGGAACUUUUUUCCUAAGAGCUUGAUUUUCUGUUUUUCUUUCUUUCUGUUUUUCUUUUUGUUCACUCUGUAACCAAAAAAAAGAGAAUGGAGAGGUAGAGAAACGAAGAGAGAAAGGAGAGAAUAGGGAGGGAGAGAGAGAGAGAGAGAGACAGAGAUAGAGAGAUAGAGAGAGAGAGAGAGUAACUUUAAAAACAAAAACAAUCUCAAGAAAUCUCAUUUUUUCAUGAAUGACUUUUUCUUGUUAAAAUUACACUACAAAAUCCAUUAAAAUCCAAUUGAUUAAACAAUCCUUCGAAAUUUGAAUUAUUUUGAAUACCACAAGAUUUUUUUUAAAUGAUGAAAAGUCUUGAUUGAAUACCUCAAGACUUUUUUAAAAUGACAAAGAGUCUUGAUUGAAUACCACAAGACUUUUUUUAAAUUGCAAAAAUUCUUGAUUGAAUAUCACAAGACUUUUUCAUAAUUAAAAAGUCUUUUAAAAUCACAUAGAAUCCUAAUCCAAUACAUCCCCCUUAGAUGUUGAGUUGCCUAUGGAACGCAUUGAACAAUCUUAUGGCCUGUAUUGAGUUGGGCUUACCAUCGAUGAUCAUGAGAUGUGGCUUUGAUUUGAUUUUUUAUUUUUUUUGUAUGUAUGUUGUAAUUGAAGAAGGGAAUGAUUCUAGACCAAAAAAUCACCCUUUUCCCAUGAAUGAAGAGGAAGGAUAUUAAAUGGCAUUGUAUUCCAUCACUAGUCGAUUUCCCAAAAAAAAUAUUAUGUAGCGACACUCCGCUUCAUAAACAGUCAAAUGAAUGAAAAUUGGUUUCACAGUACUCUUCCCAACUUUGAAGUUGUUUUGAUUAGGCAAAAUGAAAUUAGGCAUCACUUUCCUCAACAUAUUCGAGAUUGUUUUUGGUCAUUGUCUUAUAAAUCACAUUUCAAAAGAGUUAUUUCUAAAGACUUGAUACCUUUGAGAAUGAUGGUUAAUGGGGUGUCGUUGACGUAUGUAAUAGUCUCUGGAUUAAAAAAGACUUUAUGGAGAAAAUCUAAAAUAAAUAUGUCAGGAAUGUCCCAAUUUAUCUUUAAAAGAAUGGGAUGAUAGAGUUUUAAAUGCUCGUAGAAAAUAAAACAUUUUUCACUUCCUUAAAAGAAAACUAUUGGCCCUUCAUACUUAAAUCAUUGAUAGAUAUAUGCAAGUAAGUAUGUGUAUUGAUGGGAGUGAUUGGUAAUACCUUAUGAACCGUAAAUAUUAUGAUAAGAAUUCACAAGCAAAUCUUGAAUAGAUGAUUAGCACAUACCUGUUUUCAAUAUUGUUAUUUUUAAGAGUUAUUUUUUUAUAUGUGGAAUUGGAGAAGAUUGCAUCAUAGUAACACUUUGACAUCCAAACUAUAUUGGUACCUCAAUGUAACAUCAACCACAUUAUAUACGAUCUCCCCGGAUGUAUAUUGUUAAUAUGAAAAGGAAAAACAAAGGAUGGGAGGCAUGGACCAAAUCCACCAAACACAAUAUUAACGGAAAAAAAGAAAGAAAGAAAAAAACCUUCUCUAAAACAACUAGGUAAUUAAGCUAACGAAACUAAAACAACAACAGAGAAGACAAUAAUGGUUAGUCUUUCUUCAUAAAUAUUCUCCUCGCUAUAAAUAUUAUAAAAUAUUUUCUAAAAAAAAAAAGGAAAAAUCCUAAUGAUGCGAAGACAAUUUUCCCAUUUGACCUUAAGUUUCUAAGGAACCAACUUCACAUUAGUAUAUAUGCUUGUACCGUGGGGAGAGAGGCUUGUUCAAACCAUAAAUUUAUCCAACCUAUAAAAGAGUACCAAGGUGAUAUAUAUAUGAAGAUGCCACUUUAAGAAGAGACUAUUGGUGAUUAAGCUAACGAAACUAAAACAUCAUAUGGAUGCACCAUCGAUGUUAAUUUUAACUUAGGCUUAAUACAUCAUUCGAUCUCUUAACUUAUUUUCUGUUUUCAAUUUGGUCCCCUAACUAUUAAAUAUUUCAAAUUAGUCAUUUAUCUUCUUUCCAUCAUUUAAUUUAGACCUAUUUUAUUCAUUUUAAUCCACAAAAAAUGAGAUCAUUGGAUAAAUAAGGUCUAUCAUAUCUAAUUGUGUAUCACUAACAUCUGAUUUAUUUUACCUUUCUUCAUCUUCAUACAACCUUCAUCAAUCUUCAUCAUCUUCAACUUUUUUUUGUUCUUUUAAAAAUUCAUCAUUUCAACUUCAACAAAAACCACAUAAUCAAACAUUUAAAUUUAUACGGUGAACUGAUGAGUCAGUAUAUUGAGUUUGUUGCUGAUAGGUUAUUGGGUGAGCUUGGUUGUGAGAAGGUUUAUAAUGUUCAGAAUCCGUUUGAUUGGAUGGAUUUGAUUUCGCUUCGGGGAAAACCAAUUUUUUUGAGAAGCGUGUUGGGAAGUAUCAGAAAGCUUAUGUUAUAAAUGGUGGUGCUGAUUAUUGCUUUACUUUGGAUGAGGAUUUUUAGAUUAUGAAGAAAUUAGGGUUUAUCUAUCCACUAAUCUCGUUUAAUUAAUUUUUUAGGAUUAUGUUUAAGUGUUUCCGUUACCACUAGAUCGUCCACCUGUGCUGCCGCACGGGUCAUAUAUAGUUAAAAACAUUACUUACAAUUUAUUAUAAUACAAUUAUUCUUUUUGGUACCUAAUGAUAAAUAUCCUAAUUAUUUUUAAUGAAGUUAUUAUUAUUACACCCCUGACUCAGGAUCCUGGAUAAUCCACUGCGUACAUUCAACGUUCAAAUAUUGAGCCUAUCAAACCAUUGAUAUAAAAUUGGAAAUGGUCAUCACUCGAAACUCAAAAGAAAUAUAAUAUUUGAAUUUUAUUAGUCUCUAACUCAACUAUAUAAAUUGGUUUAUAAGAUGUAUAUAUAAUUAUAUUUGAACUAUAUUUUAUCAUUUUAACUUAAUUAAUUAUUUUGUUCAUUAAAUAAUAUACAUGUCAGUUAGUUAUACAAAUGUUAGAAAUCACAAAAUAAAAUUGUUCAAUGAUCUUUCGGAAAAAAAGUGUUCAAUAAGAUACUUAAGGCAUGUAUGAAAUUCUUACGCAAUGGAUUAAGUUUUUGAGUUGUACUUUCUUUAUUUUUUGAGGGAAAGUUGGACUCUCUUUAUAUAUACGCAAGUCCUAACAAAAAAAAUUGGUUAUCUAUGCAAAUCGUUAUAUAUGAUGGCACUCCAACGUGAUACAUAUAUAGACACACCGCAACUCACAUGAACGCUCUCUCUCUCUCUCUCUCUCUCUCUCUCUCUAUAUAUAUAUAUAUAUAUAUAUAUAUAUAUAUGAAAAGUGAUGAUCAUUCUUUAUUUGGAACAUAAGUGAAUUAGUAUACACAUAAAUUAUCCUAAAUCAUAUCAGUUCAAUAGUAAGAGUUUAACGUUAUAAUCUUAAAUGUUCAAAUCUCGUCAAUGGUUUUUAUUAAAAUGAUCAAGUGUCGAUUUCAUUAAAAAAAAAUUCACCAUUCUCCCUUUAUUUAAAAAAAUAAUACACAACGUCUAUAUAAAAUCACAAACUAAUAAGCAUAAACCAUGAAGGUCUUAUAACUAUUGAUCCAAAAAAAAUCAAUAAAAGCAUAUCUAAUAUUUGUGAGCAAUCAUUAGUAUUUGAGAACAUGAUCAUGUGAUCUAUAUCCUUUAUCACAUUCACCUUUGAAUCCUUUUGACCCGUGCGACAGAUACAUAAAAUAAAUAUGAAAUAAAAAAAGAGUUCAUGAAUCUCAAAUUGUUUGAAAUAAGCAAAAGAGUCUAACCAGCAAAAUGAAAUAACGAUAUGAAUUAAAUAAAGACCAUUAGAAAUUUUACUACAAAUUUCCAUUGAGAAUCCCAAACGUUGAAGUAUAAUCUUUCUAUCGAUUUGAAUGGGAAAAUAUAAAAUUUAAGGGUUAAAUAUGUUUUUGGUCCCUAUAAAUAUACCAACUUUUCAUUUUAGUCCUUUAAAAUUUUUCUUCAACUUUUAGUCCCUAUAAAACUUUCAAUCACUAUUUUUGGUCCCUCUUUUAAAGUAAACUCAUAUGUAGAAUUCAUAUUUUUAAAUAAAGAUUUUCAAAAAAAAUUCUUAAUAUUAUAAGAAUCUCUCCCUAAAAAAAUUAGAAUUUUUUAACAAAACAUGAAUUUAAUAUGAAUUUUUACGGUUAAAAAUUCAUAUUAAAUUUGUGUUUUGUUAAAAAAUUCUAACUUUUUUUGUGAUUUUUUUUUACAAAAUUCUACACAUUUUUGCACAAUUACAUUAAAAAAUACAAAAAAUAACUUAAAAAUAGAGACUGAAAGUAGUGACUGAAAAUUUUAUAGGGACUAAAAAUUCAAGGAAAAUUUUAGAGGUACUAAAACGAAAAAUUGAUAUAUUUAUAGGGACCAAAAACAUAUUUAAUCCAAAAUUUAAAUACUUCAAAACUUGUUCUACAUGAUUAAUUCUUCUUGAAAUACAUUCCUUCAAAACUUGUUCUACAUGAUUAAUUCUUCUUGAAAUACAUUUUUCUAGAAAUGUAAAAAAAAAAAAAAAAUAUGCUAGAUUCUCAUUUAUUCAACAGGUUUAGUCUCUAAAUAAUUCAAAGACUAAUUUAUACUGUCAAAUUGUGACAAACAAAUUAAAGUGAAAUUGAUAAAAGUCAUUGUAAUACUUCUCUAUCGUAAUAAAGUGAAAUUGAUAAAAGUCAUUGCGAUACUUGUCUACCAUAGAUUAUCACUAAUAACAAUAAUUGUUUCAUAGAACAUGCAACACUAUUUAUAUAAAAGAUUAUGCAGCAUGAGGAAGAAGAUUCUGCAUAUCCUUCGAUGCCUCAUCAAGAGACCAUCCUUUCAUAAUCAAAUGUCAUCCAUCAUUCAAUUCAACAUAGCCUUACCAAUCCAUAAAUGAUAUUUGAGGCAAAACUUCACCACUCCUAGAACAUGCCUUUCAGCCCUUGCCAUAAGCCCAUAAUGAGCUAAUUUCUGCAACUUAAUCAGCUCCAUGACAAUGUAAAAAAGCGGCACCAAACUUGAAAAAUUCCUUUAAAUAGUAAAGUAACAUUCUGACCACCUCCUUUGCUGCAUAAUUUUACAGGUAGAAGUUGUGAUAUUUUGCCUUCAAUCCAAAACUAUUUCAAGAAGACAUCUUCUAUUUUGAGUCCUAGUCCUGUUACUUUUAACUGCUAAGACUUUACUUAUACAAAAUAAUUCAAACAUUCAAACCUUGCAAUUGAUUAUUGGGUUCAACUAUAACAAACAACAAAGUAAUCCAAUGUAAAAAAAGUAAUGCAAUUUGAUAAUAUAUAUAUAAAGGGAGGAGAAGAGGACUUUCAUACCCACUUCAUUCCUUGCAUAUCAUUUAUAGGCCAAAAAUAAAAUAAAAAAACAAUACAACAAAGCUAGAUGUGAGGAUAAGAAAUUAGCAAAAAUGUAGAGAGUGAGAGAGGGAGAGAACAGGAUCAACAACUCAGAGUUGCCAUUGACCUAUCAAACUCUAUUUUCCACCAUCUUACCCAUUCAUAGAAGUCCAUCAUCUUUAUCCUCAUUGUUCUUCAUGUACUAUUCCUAAGCAUGCAAGAUGCAUUGAAAUGCUACAAAAACUUGCUACGAAACCAAGACAUGCAUUCUUUUUGGAUUUUAAUUGGUAUACAUUUACAAUAGUCAAUUGUCAUCAAUCAUAAAUGGUACUUCAAAAAAAAAAAAUCAUAAAUAGUACUAUUAAAACUAAAAACAAUAUAAAAAACUAUGAGAAAACAACACAAUUGGUAGACCAAGUAACUAACUAACUAACUAAAACAAAACACAAUCAGAAUAAUAGUAUGUCUCUAGUAUUUAAAAAAAGAUGUGCAUUUUAUAAAGAGAUGCGGUAACAAACUAAUCUUUUGAGGUCCUAAUGUCAGCAAAAAACUUAACCAGGGAACACAAUACAUAAAUAGACGGUUAAGAGACAGACAAAUAUUGUAAGUUGUAUUAAUUCAUGGUUGUCCCAAAAUGUCCAGCUCAAAGUGCACAUGCAAAGCCAAUAGCCAACAAAAAAAACAUGUGAACACAGACGAUUAGAUAAGACUAAAUAUGAUUUUUUUUCAACAAAGUAAUGUUUCAUACAUUUGAAGGCACGCAAAAUAAACAAAAACGAACUCAGUAUACUGCUCAUCACAUAUAUCAUGUUUCUGCAUUUAUGAAUAGACAAAAAUAAUGUGCAGACCUCAACCUUUAUAAUUACAUAGCCAAUCAUCCUUGCCACUUCAAUAGAAAGAUUAGGCAAUUUGCAUUUAGCAUAUUAAAAAAGUGGGGAGAAAGAAUCUAGAAGGGCAAGAAAACAAUGACCAAGAAAAGAUAGAAAAUAGCUAAGGAUACACAUGAUUUAAAGGACUUGCAAAUGCACUUGCAUGGAAAUGCUACGGUUAGACAGUCUUUUGACAAAAUUCUAUGCCAUCCAUUUGUGAGCAUGGUGGUGGUGAAGCUUCUCUUAGUGAUUGGUUUGAUUUGGAUUUUAGUGGUGGCAGAGAUAGUCGAAGAACACGACGUCAUAACCACUAUUAAGAAGAUGAGGGUGUACAAAGUAACUGUAGGGAUGAAAGAGAGGCAAAUGUGAAAUGAGGUUCAAUGUUUUAUGAGUGAGCAUAAAAUGCAGGGCUGAAAAACAAAUAUAUAAAACAAUGUCGAUAAACUUUAAAAGUGAUAAUAUGAUGUGCGGUCAAUUGAUGUAUCAAAUGAGAUGAUCCACUUGUAUUACUUGCAAUAGCAACAGUGAAACACAAUAACAAACAUGUAUAAUUUCGCUCAUAGUAUUUCAUCUACAUCAGAGAAAGUCACCUUUUAUAUUUUUGUUCUUUUCCUGCUUCAAUGAAUGAACACCCCCAGUUUGUCCAGCAAGAGUGUCAUUGAUAAUGCUUUGUGGUGCUCUGUUUGAUGAAUCACUCAAGCUUGGAUGGAUUUCAUUUAAAGUCUUCCAAAAAUAAAAAUACUACUUUAGAAAGCUCAUUAAUAGAACUAAUAUGAUUCUUCAUUUUCUGCUAGAACAAAAUCUGAUUGGAGAGAAAAGGAAGCAAUAGUAAGAUAACACUUACAAAUGAACUAAAAAUAUACGCAAACACCAAUGUGUAGGCUAAUUUCUGCUUCAUAGUUCCAUUUCUCUUUUAAAUGCAAAACUACAUGAGUUAAUUGAUAAUUAUCUAGCAAAUUCAAUUAGGGAAAUUCUUAUUGUGCAUAGGAGCAAACGUGAUGUUUUGGAAUCAUCAAAUAAAGAUGCAGAUUUAACUAUACAUAUAUAAGGAAAAUAAUUAAUCAUAGAAUAUGAUAAAGUAAUAUAAAAUAACAAUGAACACAGUGGCAUCAAGUAAGACGUCUUCGAUUACAGAGAGAUCUUCCUGUCGAACAACACUUGAUUCUAAUACUCUUGCUUCAUCGUAUGGCAGUGGUUUAAUUUUUUUCUAACAUAGAACACCAAACUAUAAGAAGAUACAAAAAGCAAGUGAAUUCAAUGUACUCGUAGCCUCUUUCUAUUCAAGCUGAAACACUAAAUUCUAAUUAUUUGCCAUGAUUAGAACAAAAACCAAAACAACCACCAUAAGUAAGGAAAAAAAGAAAGUGAAAUACAGAGCUAAACAUCAUGAACAAAUAGACACAAAAAUACAUCAUCUUAUAUCAGAAAUUAUAUAACACAGAAACUCACAAUCAUGUUUAGUUCUUCAACAAUUUUUAACCAAAGCUAAAACUUUUCCAAAAAAUAAAUAAAUUAACAACCACCAAUCGAGCCAAUUUACCAACUGGUUCAAAACUGUAAAACCUGAAAACCCAAUUGCUCUAUUUUGAUAAAUUGAGAGGUGGAGAGUGACGACGACAAAUUUCUGGCGAUUGUAUAAGAAUAUGAGAGAGAUGGAGAGGAACCUCACCGGAAAGAUAGAGGGCAUGAACGGAAAGCACCCGCAUAAACCGUCGUCGAGAAGGAGAGGAACCUCACCGGAAGGCUGGAUUGUUGCCAUGGAUUGUUCCGGUGCAUUCUCCAAAUAUGUAACAUAGGGAGAGUCGGGUUCUGAAGGAGAUUUGAUGGAGGCAGAAGCGGCGUUUGGUGUUGAAAGGGUGCAAGAGAGAAGAGAGACCGGAAAGGGGAUGAAGGCUAAGUUAAUAAAAAUGUGAAAUGGGAUUGUAGAGAGAGAAAGAGGAUUAGAAGGUGAUUUGAGAGAGGAAGAAGAAGGAAGGAUGAAGGUUUGAGAGGGAGAGGGAGAGGGUUUGAUGGAAAAGUGUAGUUCACGACAUGUUACCAAUACCCAUGCUUUCUUGUUCCAAUGUUGAAGACGGUGGAAUGCUUUGUUGGGAAUAUGCCGGUAAUUAAUGCUUAUGGGUUGCAGGAAGAUUUGAAAUUUGAAUUUGAAAUAGAGGCGCCAUUUUUUAUAACAUAGAUUCAUCUGACGGCCAGAACAAUUUGGAGUUAUUUUUUUAGGAUUAGGGUUAGGCAAUUAGGGUUUGCAUGUUUGCCAGGAUUAGAUAUAAAGGAUUUUAAUGGUAAAGUUCUUGUGCCUCUUAGUUUUAUUUUCUUAAUGUUUCAUGUAUAAAUGCAGUUUCAAUGAAAUAACUUAUGUUUAUUCUUUACUUUCUUUGGGGGGACUGAGAUUAUUUUAAAAGGAAAAAUAAUUUAUGUUUAUUCUUUACUUUCUUUGGGGGGACUGAGAUUAUUUUAAAAGGAAUUUGACUGUAUUUGUUUUUGAUUAUUGGUUCAUUUGAUUAAGUUUAAUUUUAUUUUUGAUUAAAAAAUAAGAACUUGAGGAAUUUGACUCGACUGAAUCUGUUCUUAAUUCUAGAAGGAAUUACAUUGCAAGAAAGCUAGAAAAUGGAUUCAUUGGAAAUUUUGAAUCAAUAGGACAAAGUAAAAACUGAUACAUAUGUCACCAUGCUGAUUCUGGAUCGGCAUUAUUUUUUAUUAUCAUUGCAAUAUUGGCAAAUACAUCACUCAAUCAUGGAUCUAGUCUUAAAAGUGAUUAUGGUCUUUAGUGGAAGUUUAACUGGGUAGAAAGUUCAUUUAUUUGACGUUAAAUUCUAGCCUAAAUUCUUCUUUUCUCGUGUUUUAUGACUAUAUGGCCGUGAAAACAGAGAAGCUACACCUUGUAGCUUCAGGCAGACUUGCUUUUAUUGUGUAAUUGAGAGAAACAAUGGUGAGUUUUUCUUCUUUUUUAGGAUUGUUCAUGAUAGGUUGUAUGAAGAUGAGGGAAGAAGAUGAAGAAAAGUAAAAUAAAUCAGGUGUUGUGAUACACAGGAUAGACCUCAUUUAUCCAACGAUUUUUUUUUUUUUUUUUUGUGGACUAAAAUGAAUAAAAUGAGACCAAAUUGAAUGAAGGAAAGAAGAUAAAGAACCAAUUUGAAACGUUUAAUAGUUAGGGAAUCAAAUUGAAAAUAGAAAAUAAAUUAAGGAAUCAAAUGAUGUAUUAAACCAAGAAGCAUGAUAUCCAAUUGACUUGCUUAGUAACUGGAGGAUAAAGAGGAUGACAAUCAACAUUGAAAUGCUUGGUAAUAGCAAAUUCUUGGCUAGAGGAAAACAUGUGACCUUUGGAAUGAUGUGUUGCAAUGAACAAGGUUUUUGACAUAAAUCACAUCACGAGCAAAAUUGGUAAAAAUAUCAUUAAGAGUUGAAAUGUGAUUAUGCAUUAUAUGAAUAAUAAUAGAUUGACGGAAAAAUGGGUAUUACAGUCACAAAAAUACUAUUUGGAUUUAUCUUGCUGAUACCAAUAACUCUCUUAUUGCAGAUGAAUAUCGAAAUAUUAUUUCCAAAGAUUUUCCUUCACGUGACUAGUCCACCAUCGCGUUUUUUUGGAAGAGAACGACAAGUAUUACAAAAUAUCUUUCUUACUAAAGCUUGUUUGGUCAAGCUAUUAGUAACCCUAAUUCUUAACCUAAUAUUUUCCCUCCAAUUAUUUCUGGCCGUUGAUUUAAAUCAAAAACACAUAUCAGCCGUUGAUUGAUUAUUUAUGGCACUUGCAAUUCCGGUCAUUACUGCUAUUUGUUAUUUCCAAAAUCACUCUUGCUAUUCCAAGUUUCCAACACAUAUUGCAGUGAACUAUGCUAUCUCUUCUCACUUUUCCAAUAUAUUACGUUUCCAACACUGAAACUCCUUUCUCCCCUCAGAAAAACAAAAAAAACGAACACUGAACCCUUUUCUAUCAUCUUCUUCCUCCUCCUUCCUCUCAUUUACCCCAAAAUGUCACCAUCGUCUUUCCCAUCUCAUCACUCCCCUUCACCAAUUCUCUCCGUUACGUCGUCACCAUCGUCGACUCUACCGGCACCUUCUGCGCCAGAAGCUCAUUUGUUCUUCUCCAUGUGCGAGAUCGAUGAGCGUGACAUGACUUUGUGAUUUUGAAAUUAAUUCACGGUUUUGGAGAUUCAAUUUCGAUUUUGAUUUGAUUUCAACUUUGCUUCCAAUCAGGUACUUCCUUUUUUCUCUCUAAUGCUGUAAAUAUUUCACAAAUCAUUCUCCAAUAUUGCUGCUUAUAGUUUUCUUUACUUUUUCAUACUUUUAUUCCGUUUGCUUCCAAUUAUGUGGUUCCUUUUUAUCUUUACCUCCCUUAUUUUAGGUUCUUUUUAGGUGUGAUUGAGACAUUGAGUCAAAUUGUGGAAUUUGAUGGAUAGAUUGUUAGAAAUAUUGUUUAUGUUGUUCAAAAUAAGCACCAAUCUAGACUUUGACUUACAUUUUUUGUUUGCUUAAUGUCCGUCUCUUCAAAAGUCACAACAGGAUAUUUAGCUACUGAUUUGUUGACAUUGAUUAUGUUUUUGUUUGAGAUAUUUUUAUUGUUACUAUUUUAAAAUAGAAGGUACUGAUUUGUUGUUAUGUAAAUUUCAGUUUUCAUUGAGCAUGCCAAAUGGAAUCCAUGAUUUUGGUUUGUUUGCUUCAAACCAAAAUCAUGGAGCUUAUACUGGAGAAUGAUUUGCAUAACUUCUUCACUAUGGUUUGGAGCUUAUUAGGUUAUCCUAUGUAACUUUAGGUUUGUGAAUCAAUUAUUUGUGACACAAACAUCUAAAUUAAGCAUCAAUUAUUUGUGAGUGGUAUAUGAAGUUUAUUUUCCUAGCAUUGAUUGUAUACAUCCUGGUGGUAGGAAGCAACAAAUAAUGAUAUGAUUUUAAGGGAUGACAUUAUUUAUUCCUUAAUGUUUUUCUAUUUAUAUUUGUUAGUUCUUACAAGUCCUUUAUUUUUUAAAGGUUUGGUUCCUAAUUAAACUGCAUUCUUCUGAUGUAUACAAUCAAUGAUGCUGGUGGAAUGUGGUUCAAAAGAUUUGAGAUGCAAGGUUCAUUGGUUCCUUAACGGAUAUCCAUGUAAGAAUUUUUAUUUGACCUCUUUUUUAAUUGUGUGAUUCAAGAACUUUGUUUGAAUUUGUUUUGGUAUCUUCAAUGUAUGUUGUUUAAAUCUGAAUCGAAGGACAAAUAAUAGGUUGCUUCAUAUAUAAACAUUGCUGCCUGUUAGAGUUAUAUGUUGUUCAUGUAUCAAUCAGACAUAAUAAUCAAUUUGUUUUUUCAACAAUCUGAUAUCGUUCAAGAAUGCCGCAAUUUAGAGUUUUUUUUUUCUUCCUGUUUAUUGUUUUUUUUUUUUUCUGUUUAUUGUUUGUUGUUUGAUAGCAAUAAUGUAGUUGAAUAGAGUUCUCAUUAAUCAUACUUUUAUGAAAUAAUGGACUGAUUAUGAUCGAGAUUCAAGAAUGCCGCAAUUUAGAAGUUUUUUCUUCUUUUUUUGAAAUACUGAUCAUUAUUUAGUGGUGAUAUUGUAGUUAAUAAGUGACGUCAGUAGUCAUUUGUAACUGACUAAAUGAAUUUUUAAGAUCUUCAGUUGUACUGCAUUAGCUUUGUUUCUUUUACUCAUCACAACCAAACACCAUGACAUUAUAAUGAAUAAUACUGCCUAUUUGCAGGUUUGAAAACAAACAAGGAAGUGUAUGUGUAUGUGGGUAUGAGAUGUUUAGUGCAAAACUACUGACAUUGGUCACUUUGGACAGAGGAGCUAGGUACGUGAAGUUGGAUGUACAAGAGUUUAUGUGUUACUAUAAUGAAUCGUUUUUAGUCAAAAGAUUGCAUUGUUUACUUUCCCUUGUGGUAUAUAUCUAUCACUAUGUUUCUCUUAUUUAAUUAUAGUACUUGACCAUGUUGGAUUUGUUUAUCUUUGAAUAAUUAUAAUUUUUUACAAACAAAAAUCUUGAGGCUAUCCGUAUAUGUCGCAAUUUCAAGAUGUUUUGCGGCAUGCGGGACUGGACUAGGUGAUCAUGUUUUUGGUCAUUUUUGCGGGUUUCACCUUUCCAAUAGUUUGAUAUUGAUCAGCUUUUGGUUAAUUUGAACUCAGCAACAUGGUCAUAAAUUAUCAAUGUCUGAUUUUGAUGUCAUUGAAAAAACUUUGUUAUAAGGAGGUUAUUUGUUGUAAGGAGAGAAUUUAAUGCAUGAAUGCAGUAAUAUCAGAGUAACCAUCAAAGUAUUUUGGCACAAUGUGAGAGUUCAGAGGACAUGGAUUUGAGUUGAAAUGUAUUGCAUGAUUAUUUUGCUUUUGCUUAUGCAUAUGCAUGCAUGUUUGUAUAUUAUAGACAUAGUUUCUGUUUUGGUGAUUAGGAGUGAAAUAUUUUUCAUUGUUCUUUACAGCUUAAUGUAUAACUAAUUAGCUAUAAGAUUAAAACAAAUUAAAGUAUAUGAAAAUCCAUUCAUGAAGUAAUUUUCCUUUCAACUUGCAUUAGAAAUUAAGGAGUCCUUUUUAGACUAAAGCAAUCAUUUGAAACUUUUGAAUGUCAUUGACCAUACUCCUUUAGGCCUUUUUUAGCUGCUAAUAUUUUUCAAUGUCAUUGGUCUUUAUUUCGAUAAGUUUAUUCUAUGUUGACACAUGUGAAAUUGAUUGUAGACUUUUCUGGUGUUUUAGAAAUCUAUAUUUACUUUGCGAAUUCAUUUUUUCAAGCCACCUAAAAAAAUUUAUCUCUAAAAGGGUGUUCUAGAAAGUUUGAUGUAUAGUGUAAGAAACAUAUUUUGUUAUUUUACUUUGCAUCUGAGUAAGCUUAUAUAUUCUAUUUAUAGCUUUGUUGUGGUCUACAAUCUUAUUCAGAAAAUCGUUGUUGGAGGGAGGGAGGAGUCAUUGUCAUGGAAUCACCCUAAGAUAAUUUUAUAAAAACACAUUGACAUGGAAAAUGAUCGGUCAAUAUUAAUUGAUUGACAUUUUAAACAUUCAUUAUUAAGUCACUUAUACAAAAAUUCUAUUAAUGACUCAAUUCUUUUGCAUCUUUGGACUAUUAAAAUGCAUUAGAGAGCAAGACCAAUGUCAUUUUGCUGCCAUAUAUAUGUUUUUCCCAUAGCUUUAGUAUUUUUAUGUUCACAAGCUUCCUAAUAUUUCUUUGUUUAGUCUCACUAGCUCCCUAUCAUACUAUGAUCUUCAUCUUUGUUUUACAAUCCUUUUCUGUUAUUUUAAUUCUAUUAUAAUAAGCAGCAUUGCUUUUUGUUUGUUGAAUUUUGGUUUCAUGCUCUAUCUUACCUCUUGCAGGUUUGGAAGAUUGUGAAAUGAAGAUAUGGCUAAAAUUUGAUAGUAGCAUGUAAAAUGCGGGACUAUGUUCAAUCUUUUAUACAAUUCAUCUGGAUUUUACAAUGCAAGGAUUUUACAUUGCAAAUUAAAUGGAAGCUUUGAUAAGAUUCUAAAUGUCCUUGAGGUGCAUGUUAGGAUAAUUUUGUUUACAAUAUUGUAACUCCAUUAAGUUAUUUUUUAAAAGUGUGAUAGGUUUGAAGACAUUGGUACCAAUGAAGAUGAUGAUGAUACUAAUGUAACGUCAAAUGGUGUAUGUUUUAUGUAUGAUUUCCAAAAGAAAAUUGAUGAGAAGAUGUUUAUAAUAAGAUGUUGUAAAUGAGUGAUAAUCCUUGCCUCUGUCAAAUUCAUCUUUUAAAGCUUUGUUGUCUUCGUAUAAUUAGUUGUGAUGUCUUUUAUUGAGUACUCAUUGGCAUCUAUGCUUUUUGGGGAAAAAAAAUAUUUAUGUGCAACUACAUAUAUCAUAGUUUUUAUUCAAUGAAUGACAAAACAUAUUUGCAACUGCUAUUCAAAAAGAAAGAACAUGAUCUCAAAUGAUAUCAAUACAUUAUUUUAAACAAUUCCUUAUAAUUAUGUUGUCAUUUUAUAUUAGUUUUUCCAAGCUAUUGUUAUCAGGGGAUUGGAGAGGCAUGCGACAAAUUGCUAUGCUUUGGAAUAAUAAUGCUUAGAGUAUUUUGAUGGAAGUGUAUAAAACAAUAACAUGAACAUUGUAUUAUUUCAAAAAAUGUAGUGUGAUUACAUUUAAAAGGAUGGAUUUUUUAACAUGUAAUGAAUUAUACAAAUUUUAAUUUAACAUGGAGCAAAAUCUGUCAAAAAUAUUUAUGAUUAAAAACGAAAUUUGAUAUAUUUAUAGAGAUCAAAAACUUAAUUAACCCUUCGUUUUAUUGUGUAUCAAAUUAUUCCGGCUCAUAAGACUUGUGCGGCGCACGGGUCCGCGUUCUAGUGUAUAUAUAUAAUUGUCAAGUAGGGCAUUAGCAUAUUCAUAUUGACCUCCCAAGUAUCAAGGUUGCACCAAAAAUUAGUCAGAAUAGUAGAAACGUUUCCAUGAUUUAACCAAGGAGCCAAUAAUUUAAAGUAGGGCUUAUAAUUUGUUUGAGCAAUCCCAUAUUGAUCCAAAUUACAAAAUUGAUCUGAAUACAAGAGUGGAAGACCGGUAGUCGACCAGUUGGGAAACAAAUUUCAUAAAGUAUUGUCAUGAGCUACAUACAAUCUUUCAUGAAUGUUGCCUCUAGUAUAAGUAAGGUCAGGUUUUUUAACUCUUCAAUGGACCAAAUUGCUCUCAUUGAGAUAUCGAGAGAAUUUUGAAGCCGAUGAUGUAUUAGUAGAAACAUCUACAAACUUUCCAUAUCAACAGAGAAUUACUAUAUUAAAAUCACAUGAUAAAAUUGAGGUAGGUUAUGAUGUUGAUGCAUAUUACAAAGUUCGGUCAACGAAUCUUAAGAUUCUAACCUGAGACUCUCAUAGACCUUUGUUUAUAAUCCAAGGGGCUUUAGUGAGAGGAGACACCUUAAAACCACAUGUUGCAAAGACGUUAAAAAUAACAUUGAUUGAAAAUGUAACCUUGAUCUCAUAAGCACCAAAUACCAAUGAAAAAACUAGUCGUUUCAACUCUAGCAACACCAUCGAGCCCAAGCAAUCAAUGACUUUAUAUACACGAGCACCACUAGGACAUGGUUAUGAUAAAGCAAGAAGGCUUAGCUUAUGAGGACGAGUUAUAUCACAAUUCACAAAUGUAACCAGGAAAACGACACCCACCUGCACCUUUGCAGUUCCAAAUAAGAUGAUUCAUUAAUACACAAUAACAAACAGUGGGACAACUGAACUGGAUCGUGGGGGCGUAUAUUGGUCAUUUUCAGAAUCCAUAUUUUCAUGAUAUUUUAAACACUUCAUCCAAUCAACAAGUUGUUUAGCAAUAACUUCAACAUGCAUGUUAACCACACCAAAAAUCAAUUAUGAAGGUUUAGGUUUUUGAAGGAUACAAAUAUCAUUGUUUGCAAUGCUACUAUUUUGCUUACCUCUACUUUCUUGUUUAUUAACCGGAGAAGGGAUAAUAAUAGCCGAAGAGUAAAGAAAGUUAUCCUUAUGGAAAGAAAAAUGGUCAUGCAAUAAAGUAGAAUUAUCAAUUGAUUUGGCAUGGGUUUUAAUUUUAGGGUUAUCUUAUUGGGUCCUCCAAUCAUUGCCUCAACCAACCACUCUUUAAUCAUUGCCUUAUUCUCUUAUUUUUAUCCAACCUUUCUAGCGAGAAGACGCCGUCUUAUUGAAAAAGUUAAGGUAACUUCCUUUCUAGUCUCGUUGUUGGUCAGUUGGAAUAAUUCAAAUUUGUUGCCUUUACUUUCAUGCAUCUUAGAAUUCCGACAAUUUUUCUUUCCCUUCUUAACUAAAACAACAAAACCAAUGAAAAAAAAUGGUGAACAAGAUUUGAAUAUAUAGUGAUAAAGAGAAGAUAGUAGGAUAUGCGAUAAUUACCUAAGGAGAUGAUGGCGAGAAGAACCAUAAACCCGCAAGAAGAAGAGUGAGCCAUGGUGUUGUGAGAUGUAUUCGUCACCGUCUUGUGAUUCAAAGAUGGAGUAGUAUUGACGAUGAUGCGAGUGUUACUCUGCGCAUUUUAUAGUGUUUACUGUUUACUCUUAAUUUCGAACAAGUCAUUGAUGAUUACGUGAACCAAUUGUAAAUCGAGUUAGGACGAUUUUAGCCAAUGGGAUGCCUCUUGUGUGUGUAGGAACGAACAUGUCACUUCCCUUUGAAAGUCGCUCUACUACGAUCUUAUUUGUUGAUUUAUUUCCCUUUCCUUAGGCUAUAAUCAUUUGAUCCUAUCAGUUCAAUUGAUUAUAUUUGUUUAUAAUUCUAUUUUAUUUUAUUUUGCAAAAUUAACUAAAUAAAUUUUGUUGCAAUACAUAAAUUAGUAAUUAUGUUGGCUUCAAAUUAUGGUUGGCAAAUGUCUAAAUUCACGGUCAUUUGAUUAUACUACUUUCAUUUCUAUAUUUGAAUGGAGUUUAAUUUAACGUAAUGAAAAAUCUCAUAUCGGGCGAUAGACCUAGUGACCGCUUUUUCACUAGAAAAGAGCAAAAUUCACACAGAGAAACUAUAGAACCAUUUUACCAUUGUCUCGUGUUGAAUCAUUAGGUUCAACAUUUGGAUUCAGAAAGCUGCAUCAUUGAUAUAGCCGUGACAUAGAUUUGUAAUCCAAACUUGGGUAUCACGUAAUACGGAGUGAGAGUGUGUUCUUCCCCCUUGCUGCGGCUAUUGAAAAUUUAGUUACAGUUGACGUCAAAGCUAUGGAGAGAUUUAAUAGAAAAUAUGUUCGGAUUUGAGUUGAACUUUAUAUGAAUGAAACUGUGGUUGGACACAAAUUUUUGUGGGAUGUGGUUGAAAGCACAAUGUGAGGGCUUGCAUGUUUGUGUAAAAAUUAUAGUACAUGUGGUCAUGUUGCUCAAAAUUGUUUUAAGAAGUUGUAGAAAUCAAUUGUGACGACGAAGACAACUAAGGCGAUUCACAAUUAUAGUUAAGUCGAAUGAGAUCGUAAUUAAACACUAGUUGGCAAUAUUGUUGAUAGGUAUUGUGAACUCGAACAAAUUGUCAUAAAUAUAAGGAUUUAAUAGUUGUUUCCAAAAACAAAAACAUAUUGUUACCUAAAUAUGAAAUUUUUGAUUUUACAUAAAAAUAAACGUCAUUCAAAUAUAGAAACGAAUAUAGUAUAAUGAAAUCCAUAAUUUGAAGCCAAUAUAUAAUUACUAAUUUAUGUAUUGCAACAAAAUUUAUUUAUUUAAUUUUGUAAAAUAAAAUGAAAUAAAACAUAAUUAUAAACGAAUAAGCGUAAGGAAAGUAGAAAAAAUCAACAAAUAAAUAAGAUUGCAGUAGAGCGACUUACAAAGGGAAGUGACAUGCUCCCACACACAAGAGGCAAUCCCAUUGGCUAAAACCGUCCUGACUCAAUUUUCAAUUGGUCCACGUAAUCACCAAUGACAUGUUCGAAAUUAAGACUAAACACUAUAAAAAGCGCAGAGGAACACUCGCAUCAUCAACACAUCUUCAUCUUUGAAUCACAACAAGACGGUGCAGUAUACAUCUCACAACACCAUGGCUCGCUCUUCUUCUUGCGGGUCUGUGCUUCUUCUCACCAUCAUCUCCUUAGGUAAUUAUCACAUAUCUCACUAUCUUCUCUUUAUUCACUAUUCAGAUCUUGUUCACCUUCCUUUUCUCAUUGCUUUUUUUUGUUUUGUUUUAGAUCUUUGAUUUAUAUGGAUCUGAUUAGAUCGAGAUCUUAACCCUAAUUGCAUCACAUUCUAAUUACUUAUUAUUAUUAUUAUUAUUAAGUAGUUAGCAUCAAUCAAUGAGUUAUAGUUUUAAUAUGCAUCUAUGCAAUCUGCAUCUAAGGAACUCAAUCGAAAGUGUUUAAUUAUUGCUUUGUUUUGAAUUUUGUGGACUGUUAUUGUUAUGUGUUGUUGAUUUUCUUAUUUCCUUUUAAAGACUGUUAAUUAAUACAAUUACCUGCGGUUUCUUUGAAUCUUAGAAGUAGAUGCCAAUUAGACCUUUUUAUUUGUUUGGAUUAUCAGUUUUCAGGUACAAACAAGUGUAAUUAAAUACAUGCAUUAUUGGCUUCAAAUGGAUACAUUUUUUUUAAUAGUCUUGUUUUGAUAGUACCAUGAAUCAUGUUUUUUUCCGUUUAAGGUUUUAUUCGUAAUGUUGCCUUUAAAUAGUUGGUUUAUGUUGUUUUCGGGUAAUGCUUUUAUGGGAUGUGAUUACAUGGUUUGAUUUGACACCGAUUUGAAUGUUUUGAGUUUUUAUAGUUAUAGUAAUUGUGAUGGUUUAUUGCAGUAUGUCUAUUUGCAACAUCUGCUGCAAAAGAGGAAGGGACCACCAAGUUAGGGACUGUUAUUGGGAUAGAUCUUGGAACAACCUAUUCAUGUGUUGGUGUUUACAAGAAUGGCCAUGUUGAAAUCAUAGCCAACGACCAAGGAAAUCGUAUCACACCAUCAUGGGUUUCUUUCACCGAUGAUGAGAGAUUGAUUGGAGAGGCUGCUAAGAAUCUGGCAGCUGUCAACCCUGAAAGGACCAUCUUUGAUGUCAAGAGACUUAUCGGAAGAAAGUAAGACAUCAUUCUAUAUGUUUGCAGUUUAUAAUGACUAAUAUUUGUUAAUUUGAUGUAACGGGAUCAAUGUUGACCGAGUUGUUUCUUUCUUCAGAUUUGCGGAUAAAGAAGUUCAAAGAGACAUGAAGCUUGUUCCUUACAAGAUUGUCAACAAGGAUGGAAAACCAUACAUUCAGGUCAGAGUAAAGGAUGGUGAGACCAAGGUGUUCAGCCCUGAGGAAGUCAGUGCCAUGAUUCUGACUAAGAUGAAGGAAACCGCUGAAGCAUUCCUUGGCAAGACUAUUCGUGAUGCCGUGGUCACUGUCCCAGGUGAAUUACAACUUGUUCCUCAUGCAAUUUGAUUAUUUUCUUCCCCAUUUUGUCUUCAUUUUAACGUUUCUGGUCUUCUUUUGAAUUUACAGCUUACUUCAAUGAUGCUCAGAGGCAGGCCACCAAGGAUGCCGGUGUCAUUGCUGGUUUGAAUGUGGCUAGAAUCAUUAACGAACCUACCGCUGCUGCCAUUGCUUAUGGAUUGGACAAGAAAGGUGGAGAGAAGAACAUUCUUGUCUUUGAUCUUGGAGGUGGAACUUUUGAUGUCAGUAUCUUGACAAUUGACAAUGGUGUUUUUGAGGUUCUUUCUACAAAUGGAGAUACCCAUCUUGGAGGUGAGUACUUAUAUAUGUAUAAGAGAAAGAAUAAGAUUAGAUUAAGACAGAUUUUACUUCUGUUGUUAUUGCUUGCCAAGUGCUAACUCUUCAAUUGUUUACCAGGUGAGGACUUUGAUCAGAGAAUAAUGGAGUACUUCAUUAAAUUGAUCAAGAAAAAGCAUAGCAAGGAUAUUAGCAAGGACAACAGAGCACUUGGAAAGCUGAGGAGGGAGAGUGAGCGUGCCAAGAGAGCUCUUAGUAGCCAGCACCAAGUCCGUGUGGAAAUUGAGUCACUUUUUGAUGGUGUUGAUUUCUCUGAGCCACUUACCCGUGCUCGAUUUGAAGAGUUGAACAAUGACUUGUUCCGGAAGACAAUGGGACCUGUGAAGAAGGCAAUGGACGAUGCUGGAUUACAGAAGAAUCAAAUUGAUGAGAUUGUUCUUGUUGGUGGAAGCACAAGGAUUCCAAAGGUACAACAACUUUUGAAGGAUUACUUUGAUGGAAAGGAGCCAAACAAGGGCGUCAACCCUGAUGAAGCAGUUGCCUUUGGUGCUGCUGUGCAAGGAAGCAUUUUGAGUGGGGAGGGUGGUGUAGAAACUAAAGGUACCUUUAUAUUUUAUACUCUAGCCUUUCAAUUGCAUUAGUUUGCUAUUAUUUGUUAUUGAUGCAUUUUGAUUUCCAAGUAUUACACUUUCUCAUUGUUGUUCUAUUCUCCGUAUCCAGAUAUCCUUCUCUUGGAUGUUGCACCUCUUACCCUUGGAAUUGAAACUGUUGGAGGAGUGAUGACAAAGUUGAUUCCUAGAAACACUGUUAUCCCCACCAAAAAAUCCCAGGUGUUUACCACCUACCAGGAUCAGCAAACAACUGUCUCUAUUCAGGUACUGUACCAUUAUUCCACUGCAUAUUGUUAGGACAUUUUCCUUCUAGAUACAAUAUUGAGUAAUGAGGGGUGUAGAACUCAACCGGGGUGUUGUAUGUUUUUUAUAUG